UUUUUUUCCCUCUAGCUCAUGGAGAUAAUUUUUUGUAAGAGAGGCACACGAUGGGGGUAUGAUGGGUCACUUUGGAAUCGACAAGACCCUUGGAAUCCUAGAGGAAUAAUUCUAUUGGCCCAAGAUGCAUCAAGAUGUUGCUAGAAUUUGUGGCCAAUGCAUGUAUUGUAGAAGUGAAAAAUCUUGCCUUCCCCUUCAAGGAUUAUAUACCCCACUACCCACUUCUCAACGCUCGUAGCUUGACAACUCUAUGAAUUUUGUUUUGGGAUUGCCUAGGACAAGGAGGGGUAGAGACUUCAUUUUUGUUAUGGUUGAUAGGUUCUCAAAAAUGUCCCAUUUCACUCCAUGUCAUAAAAUUAAUGAUGCUUUUAAUGUGUGUUCUUUGUUUGUUGAGCAUGUUGUCAAAAUACAUAGAAUUCCUCAAACUAUUUUUAGUGAUAGGGACUCUAAGUUCCUUAGUAACUUUUGGAGGUCGUUGUGGGGUAGGCUUGGAACCAAAUUGUUUUUCUCCAUAUCUUGCCACCCAAAAAUGGAUGGGCAAAUGGAGGUGGUAAAUAGAACCAUGGGUUCUAUGUUGCACACCUUAGUUAAAGGAAAAAUCGCCUCUUGGGAGAAUCACUUACCUCUAUUUGAAUUUUCUUAUAAUCGUGUUAUCCAUUCGGCUAUUGGUAUAACUCCCUUUGAAUGUGUUUAUGGUUUUAACUCCCUUACACCUUUAUAUCUUACUCCUUUUCUGAGUGAUAUUUUUAUAAGCUUAGAUGGAGAUGAGAGGGCAGAAACAAUGAAGAAGUUGUAUGAGAAGGUGAGAAUUCGCCUUGAGAAGAAGAAUCAAGAGGUGGCCAAAAGAGUAAACAAGGGAAGGAAGUGGCUUGUGCUUGAACUGGGAGAUUGGGUGUCACCUUCGAAAGGAUAGGUUUCUAACCCAAAGAAAAUCCAAAUUGAUACCUCGAGGUGAUGGUCCAUUGAAAGUACUUGAAAGGAUAAACGAUAAUGCCUAUAAGAUUUACCUUCCUUCAGAAUAUCAAGUACACAAUACCUUUAAUGUGUGUGAUCUUUCACUCUUUGACAUGAUAGAAUAUGAUCACCCUUUGAAUUUGAGGUCAAAUUCUUCUCAAGAUGGAUAGGAUUAUAUAAUUCGGAUUAGCUCCAAACCAUUCACUAGAAGUCAAUCUCGAGAGCUUCAAAGGAUCCAAGGAUUGUUCAUGAAGCGGGAGGUACUUGAAGAAGCCUCUUUACCAUCAAGAGGGUGUUAUUUGUGUAUGAUCACACUAACAUUGGUCCAAGGAUCGUUGAAGGAGGCAAGCAAAGGAAAUAUGGGACUAGAAAGCCCCUUGGAAAGGACUUGCGCCCAAGGCACUUUGGAUCCACUUUUGAUGUGCUCUAUCAUUUCAAAAGCGGAUCAAAACAGUCCCUAGUGGGACUAUCUUGAAAUUCGGUCACUUUUGGGCCCUAAAAUUGUAAUAAUUAGCCUAAACUUUAAAUACUUUUGAGGAUGGCUCAUUCUCUUAGUUUUAGCUUAAUUAUUGAUGAAUUUAUGAAUGCUUCUCCAUUGAGUGAGAGUAUUGGACAACUUUUGUUUAACUUUGAUUUAGAGGGCGUUCAUCUCCCUCUUGGUCACCAUAAGAAUUAGGUGUUCGAUUAGAUUGUAAUUGAGGGUAUUAGAGUUUGACAUACUCUUUUGUUCUUGGUUACUUUUUUUCUUGUGUCUAAUUAUCUAUCUUAUCGAUUAUAUUUAAUUUUUUGUAUCGUCUUUAGUUUUUGUAGUUUGAUUCUGUAUAAACUUAUUUUCCAACUUUUCUCAAUCUUCCCUUAUUUCUCCCUUUUGAUUAUCUUUCUACUUAUUCAGAUUGGGUGCGGUCUUUUAAUCUUUUUUUUCACAUUUUUCACAAUUUUCUCAUUUUUCUUUUUUCUACCACACCCAACCCUACUUUCUUUUCUAUCCAUACCUCUUCUUCAUACCUAUUUUUCUUUGCACACCCCUAUGAUAGCCACCCUUAACUUAGACUAUUUUCCUAAGUUGAGGUGCACAAAUUCCAAGGAGGACCAGGGCCAAAACAAAUCAAUUAAAAUGGGAAGGUGAAUUGGUGUAAACAAAAAAUAUUAGGUUCAUUAAGGUUCAAAUUUGGGAUCCAGGGAUUCUUAUUAGCAUUUGGUUGGUUAUUUAGGCUAAAGUAGACUGCAUUCAAAAAUGGCCUAUGAUCCUUUCCUAACUGAUAAUAAUACAACCUAGGAAAGACUAACCAUGCAAGUUCUAGAUUCCAUACACAUAGGGAACUACGUAACGCCUCACACACACAUUGUUCAGGGGUACAUUGCUAAUUACUUUCUAUCUAGUUCAUGCAAUUGCUUGCCAUAGUAAUUACGUCCCUUAUUCUAAUGCCAUUACAAGAUUCACAAUGGUCACAUACAUAUACACCUCACACAAUUGUCAAAAUUUUAGGAGUGGUAUUAUUUUCUUAAACAACUUAAGCAAAUUCAGCAUAAAAUUAGUCAAAACAUGUUCACUAGGUCAGGUACAAAUUCUCUUCCUUAUUAAGCAUCUAAGAAAACAUCACAUUUAAACUAAACUAGACAUGCUAGUUUCAUAUUCAAAUUGCAGUCAAUGGGAAAAGAAACCCGCUACAACAACACACUACGGCUAUGUAGUACACCCGCGAUGGCUAUGCGGUACACCCCCACCCCCAAAUAAAUACUUACACAUUGUCCCUAGUGCAUGUAUAAAGUAAAAAUAAGGAGUGAAAAUGUACAUAGGUGCACUAGGUGCCAGCUCAAAUAGUAUCAGUAUGUGGGGCCUCAGUACGGACCCCACUUUCUCAUCAGUGGCCCUAGUGGUGACCAGGGUGCUUAAAUCUGUAGUAGCACCAGUGGUGACCGGUGCAUUGUAUUGGCUCAAGUGGUAGGAUCGUACUACUGCUCAAAUCAAUAGCACCUACAGGUCGGGAACUACCAUCCCCUGCUGCCAUAUCUCAAACCCUUGUCUAGCGGUCCUGCUCAUCCUAUCUACUGGCUACUUUCGUAGCCUUAACAUUCACCUUUUUACUUCUCUUUCUCUUUUUUCUCUUUCUUCUUCUCUCACUAGCAUCGACAUCAGUCAUGAGGGUCAAAUCUCAAACACCCAAAAUAUCCUAUACCUAUUCCUCAUCCUAAAUCUCCUCAAUAAUAGGAACUGAGAAUACCGGCUUAUCAUGUAACUCUUUAACUAAUAUUUUUAGCACGGUUAACUUAGACUCUACAACUGCUAAGUUUGGGGACUGGAUACCCUCAAGAUGUUGAUUAAUCCACUGCUUGAAACCAUCAAACCUUACCUGUAUCACCCUCAUCUUGUCUUUAAUCUUCUUGUCUACCCAUGGUUUUACUCCUCCCUCCAUAAGUUACACCUUUGUAUUCACUACUCAACCUUUUCAUAACUUCAGACAUAAAAGACUACUGUACUAAGACAUGUCCAGCUGGAACUAACCUGGGGGUGGAUAGUCGUGGUACCAUAGUAGGUGGUAGAGUAGGAGUUUUGGAGGUCCCUACUACAUCUGAAUCUUGGAUCCUGGACUAUGUCAUCUCAAUAGGGGUAUCACCCAUGUCGGUGAACCCCAGUGUCUUAGUACUAAGCCCUUUAGUCUGAAAUACCUCAACAAUAAUGUUCCUUCUAUUUUUGCUUGUUUAGAUAUGGUAUUUGCAAUGUCGUGGAUCAACCCUAAAUCUGUGGUGUUCCUCAGUUGGAUGAAAUCAUCAACAUCAGGAGUCUCUAGCACUUUCACAACUAUGCAUAUCUGCAUCAACAAAUAAGGAAAUGCCAGAACUGUGUCAGUUUCUACCACCCGAUCUCGAAUCUCUCUGGCAAUCAACUAGGAUACAUCUAGAUCAUAACCUUCCAUGAUCCCAGCUAUCAAGGACGCCCAGACUGGACUAAGUACAUUAUCUUGAGAUAUGGGACAUAACCUAUGCUGUGAAGGAUUCCACUAUGCCUUUGCCAUGAAAUUUACGGUAUUCUUUUUAAUCUACUAUGAGUUAACUCUUGGUCCACCAGCUACCCAACCAAUCUUCUCUCUAUUGGAAGCAACAAAAUUAUCCAUCCACCAAAAGUGAACCAAUUUUUCCUCAGUGCCGAUUUGUUUUCUCGUUAUCUUUCGAAUCUCAUCCAUGCAAAAAUUAAUCUUGCCAGUAUUUAUUGGUGGCUGGAACUCUAUCCCAUGAAGUAUUCUAGAAAUCAUCCUUGGGUAUAUAUUCACCCGAACUUCUUUAAUCAUCAUAACAUUCAAUGGGUUACCACCCUUUCACAAUUGCCCCUGUGGAUAUAAUUUCUUGAGCUCCAUCUUAUAUAUUGCAUAGAACACAUAUCCCAAUACAGAAUUGAAUGGGCCGGGAGCUAUGGUCAUCCACUCAAAAUGGUAUUGUCUAAAUCGGGCCUUAAAUUUAAGCAUUUUAGAUAUGCCUGAUGUAGUCAACCUUUGUUCUAAAUAGAUCUGUCUUUGUGAAUUUUUAGUGGAAGGGUUAGUGGCAAUACCUUUAUUGUAUACAGUCUCCAUUCUAGGGUACCCCCACAGUUCAAUGAGGGGCACCAAAUUAGGCUCUAUAGAUAGUAGCGUAGGAGGUGGUUAUGGUGGAUAUAUUUCAAUGGAGUAUCACUCUUCUCACUCUCACUCUCUUCUUUAGAUUUGGACCCUUCAUUUCCCUCCGCAACCUCUUCUGGACCAGAUUCCUCAUCGUCAUUAACUUCGCUAUCCUCAUUAGACUAGGACGGUGAUGAGGUGGUGAUUUUCUAGAAUUUUUAAUCCUAGGCCCUGUCCUGGGUGGUGUGACCUCCUUUGAGGUUGCUUUCGUACCCCUAGGUUGCUUUUUUCUUGGCUCUAUAUACCCCCACUAGGUAUUUUUUACUGAGCCGCUUGACGCAUUGUUAAUAUCUUUGUCUCUGAGACAAUGAGUGGUUUGGGGUGUAGGUUUUCAUUACUUGAAGUCUACUUUUUUAUCAAAUUAGAUUUUGUUGCUUUUGAUUUCUAUUGAAACAAACCCAUUAGUGAGCAAUAAGAAAAAGAAAGGAAAACAAUAAAAUUUGGUGUCAGUGUAGUAGGAUGUGGGUACCCUACGACUUAGGAUACAAGUCGUAUCCUCAAGUUACAAGUCAUUAGGAGACUCGUGAGGUGGAAGGAUGCCUAAUUAGUAUUCACUGGUCAGUCAACGAGUCCUCAUAAUGAGUCAUAGUAUUAGACUAUGACUCAUUACCAACACUCGUUAGCUGACUAGAUAUACUUUCCUGAUGCAAUACCUUUCUAGUCAUUACAACUCCUAACUACGAGUCAUAUAGUAUGACUAUGACUCGUUGAAAUGAGUUGUGAUAUUAAUAGAACCCACACUCUUCCAAUAAACCAUAUUACUAGUGGUUACGAGUCACAUAACGACUUGUUAGGUGACCCUACGAUUCGUUAAGUGUCCCGUAGCCAUAAUAACAUGAGUGAUUGGAAUAGUUGGUCCCGAUUCUUAAUCCCAUCACAACAAGAUUCGGUAAAAAAAACAUCAAGUAUCCCCAAUUCAUCUCAUCAACAAAAUCUAGUCUACAUUAGAUGAUUUACUCCCAUUUUCUCUUUAUUUUACAAAUUUCUCAGGAAUAGGGCUCGUCUAUUGAUAUGCACACAUAUUUUGAGAAAGAAAUCCAAUCAACUAUUGUACCUCAAUGCAUCAAUUUAACACUUAUGAAUUUAAACACAAAAUACUUACUUGUUAUUUGCCUUGGAUUCUUUUUUAGCUUAACUUUAAAAAAGUUUGAGCCCUACACCUUGAGAUUGUUUGAUUUUUUGGGGAAGCACGUAUGUAGUUGAUGUUGGGAUGAAUUUAGAGUCUGGUCGAGGUAUGUUGGUAGCUUAGAAAAAUAGAGGGAGUUGUAAUUUUGAAUGAUUGGAAUACCAAUUAUUUGGUCCCUUUGUUUUAUUUUAAUAAAUUAUGCGACUUUGACCGAGUCGACCUGUUAGGCCAGCGAUAUCAGGCCUAGUUAUGAGUCUACUUAAUGACUCAUAACAUAUGAUUACAUGUCGUAGACUCCCUACAUGAGGAAUAGAACCUUACCUAGGUCUCCAGUUAUUACAAAUUCAGGGUGAUGAGUCAUUGUCACUAACUACGACUCAUUCUUAGAGUCAUAAUGACUCCAGAAACCAAAUACCUUAGAGUGGUCUGAGUUCCAGCACCCUAUGACUCUGGUGACGGGCCGUAAAGUCUGAUACGGCUCAAUAAGUGAGUCUUGAUGCCUGGUACCAAAAACAUUUUCUAGGUUUUUUCUGCAAUCUCCAGCCUUGCACACUAAACACAAAAGUUACCCCAUAAUCAAAUAAGUACAAAACAUUGGUUGCCUCACAAACACCGUUUGAUUUAACAUGGUGGAACGACAUGGAUAGUUUUGAUACUCAGACUUCCCACACCAGACCCAUAGUUUAACUCCUACGCAAUUCUGGAUUUAACAUCGUGGCUCGACUCGGUUGCCUUGGUUACUCAAACUUCACCAAGGCUCAAAUCAUCAACCACUUUUACUUUCUCAAUAUUACCUAUAUAGUGCUCGACCUUUGACCAUUCAUUUUGAAAGGAGCUUCACCAUCAUGCUUCAAUUUAAUAGCACCAUAUGGGAACACCCUCUCCACAAUAAACAACCCAUACCACCUAGACUUCAACUUGCCUAGAAACAAGCAAAGUCUCAAAAUAUACAGCAACACCUGAUAACUAGGAUCAAACACUUUUUUCUUAAUUUUUCUAUCAUGAUGUAGCUUCAUCUUCUCCUUGUAUAGAGCAGAACUCUCAUAAUCCCAAAGUUAGAAUUCAUCCAACUCAUGCACCUUGCUCAUCCUCAGUUUUGUUGCAUCAUGCCACUCAAAAUUCAGCUUUUUUAGCACCCAUAGUGCCUUGUGCUUAAGUUCAGUAGGUAAGUGGCACGCCUUUUCAUACACAAGCUGGUACGGAGAGGCAUCUAUAGGUAUCUUAUAAGCUUCCACGUAGGCCUAGAAUGCACCAUCCAAUUUUCUCGACCAAUCAAUCCUAUUGGCAUUCACAGUGUUUGCUAAUAUGGACUUGAUUUCUCUAUUAGAGACCUCAACUUGUCCACUUUUCUGAGGGUAAUAAGGUGUUUCCACCUUAUGCUUUACUCUGUAUUUCUCAAACAGACUUUUGAAUAGAUGAUUAUAGAAAUGCGACCCACCAUCACUAAUUAUUGCAAGUGGAGUGCCAAACUGAUAAAAAAUAUAUUUUUUCAGAAAUGCAAUGACACUUCUACCUUCAUUGUUUGGGAAAGAUACCAUUUUUACCCAUUUUGACAUAUAAUCGACCGCAACCAAAAUAUAUUUCAUAUCUAGGAUCUCACAAACGGAACCAUGAAAUCAGAUCCCUACACAUCAAAUAACUCCAACUCCAGAAUGGGGUCAUAGGGAGUUCAUGCCGUUGUGAAAUAUUACUGACACUAGCAUUGGUCACAGACUAGUUGUAAUACCCCAAUUGUUCCUUGAGUCUAAAUCUAUCUUCUAAGUAUAUGGAAAUGACUUCCAAAGUGAAUGAUGAUAUAACCAUGUAUAAUUUCUCUAAUUUCUAUUUUUUGUCAUGUAGAUCAUUGAAUAAGUUUUCCAUCGAUACCAAUUUCAUCAAAAUCCAACAUUGGACAGGGGAGUCAUGGCCGUUUUACUAAACAAUAUCGGAAUCGCCCAGGCCUGACGGUAGACCUGACGGAUCGUCAAGUGUCCCGUCAAGCCAAGGCAGUGACCCCUCUUUUUGGUCAUCGUGUGACGGACAAAGUGGUGGACCAUUAAAAAAGUUGAUGGACCGUCAAGGGGUCCGUCAGGUCGAGAUAGAAUAUUUCAUUUUUGGCCCCCGAGUGACGGACGAUCUGGUGGAUCGUCAGAUUCCUGAUGGACCGUCACUUUGAUUGUCACUCCGAGGUACAAUAUCCCAUUUUUGGCACUCAAGUGACGGACGACAUGGUGGACCGUUAGUCCCUCUGACGGACCGUCGGGUCAACCAUCACAGGCCCCGAUCAGUGAAUUUCAGCUUUUUUAAAAGGGCAUUUUGGUAUUUUCCACCCAUUUUGGUAUUAUAAAUAUAUCCAAGUAGUAAAGGAAAGAUCAUUUUCUCUUAUUUCUCUCCAAUCUCUCCAAGAAUUCUCUAGAAGCUAGGGUUUUCUUCCAAGACCCAAAAAAAAUCCAAUCUUCUUCCAAGAAAUUCAAGAAUCUCCCAUAGAUUUCUUCGAGUGGUUCAAGAAUCAAGCUUUCCUAGUCAAAGGCAUCAAGAAUCAUAGCCUAAAAAGUGCGAGAAAAAAUUUUCAAUCAAGUCUCUUAUUCUCAAAUUUACAAUUCAAGGUAUGUGGGGUUUGAACAAGAACACUUCUUUCAUUCUUGUGCCCAAAGAUUUAAUUUCUACUAUUGAAAUCCAUGAUUUUGCAAAGUGGGUUUACACCCAAAUUACUUUAUUAAUUAUUUAUUAUAUUUGAGAAAAUCAAGAUUGAUACACAUGACUAUUUCAUCAUUUUAUUCCUUAAAUUGAGAACUUAUACCAUGAGUUGAAUAUUGUUAUUAUGAGUUGAUGAUUUCCGAAUGAUUUGCUAUUGAAUAUAUAUCGAUAUUUGAGAUUGAAAGUCAAGAAUGAGUCCUAUGAUGUUUCCUUUAAGCUUUUGAUAUUUGAAAAUGAUUCGAAAAGCAAAUGUACAUAAUGUUGAGAAAGAUUGUGUUGAGUUGAGUCGAGUUAGGAAUCCAUAAGAUGCUUAUGAUUUAUAGAUGAGAUAUAUAAUUAUGUUUCGGUCUUUAUAAUAGACCCAUGAGUUGAUAUUGAUUAAGCUAGAUUUCCUAACGCAUUCUGAGCUGAGUCUGGGAGGAGUAUUUAGCACCGAGCGGGAAAUGUGAUAUUUCCCCGAAACUAUGUGCCACCGUAGGAUUGAUGUUGAUAAUUGUGGGCCAGAGGCCGAGUGUGGAAUUGUGAUAAUGAGAUUGAGGUUGUACUCCCUGGCAAGAGUACAACACCCCCACUAAUGUGGGGUUCUCUCCUUAGGACGGCAAAACGUUGGACUUCAUACGGCUCACAUGGUGUAGUUAUGUCAGUUAUAAGAAACUCCCAAGUUCAUAAGAGUUCAAGUUUCAUGAGUUAUCGAGUCACUCUAAGUCAUGAUUUAAAGAGUUUGAGUUAAGUAUAAUGAUUUAUGAGAUAUAUAAUGCUUGCAUUACUAAUGAUGAAUUUUAAGAAAUAUAUUUUAAUUAAUUCAGGCAAAGAAAGUCGUUAUCGUCAGCAUGCAUGAUUUUCGUAAUCAUUUAUGAUAUUAUUUAUAAUGUUGCAUUGCACCCCCACAUACUCAAUACAUCCUUUAAAUUACUAACCCCCAUAUAUUUCUAUAUGCUAUAGUGCCUUAUAAUGUAGGUAUAAGUUAUGGAGCAGAUACCACAUUCAGUCAGUUUGCAGCUUCCAAUCAGCAGGUGAUGAGUCCUUUUGAUUCGAGGGCUUAAGUCAUUUAUACAGUUCAAGAAGUAUCGUAUUUUAUUAAUUUAGUCGUAUUGAGAUUGGGUAGUUGGGAGUCAUGACCCAUCUAUCUGAAGUCAGUACCAGUAGAGGCUUCAUAGUCUUUCAGUAGAAGUUGAUGUAUUCAGUGUCAGUUUUAUUUGUAAAAGGAGAGUUGUAACCUUGUAAUGUCCAUAAUUGUAUUGAUCAAGUUCAGAUAAGUUCUAUGUUUUCACUGAUAUCAUGUAGACUUGAGCAUUUUAUUUAGUUGUUUAUGAGUUAUGCCAGUAGAAGGGUUAGCUUAGGGUUACUUAUGCCCCUAAGAACCGUGUGAUGUCUCGGGAUCCAAUUUCAGGGUGUUACAAACUAGGUAUCAGAGCACAGAGUUCAAGUGUCCUAGGGUGUCUAUGAAGCCGUGUCUAGUAAAGUCUCGCGAAAUAGUAUGGAGAUGUCUGUACUUUUCUUCGAGAGGCUACAAGGCAUUUAGGAAAGGUCUCCAUUCUUUCAAGUCUUAGAUCGUGCUAUAGAAAGGUUCGUUGAGAAACUUCUACAGAUUUUUAUCUUACCCUAUUUGGGGCACCCCCGCCUUAUUUUCAAGGUAUUAGAGACAGUCAAACUCAAUUCUUUGUAGAUAGUACUUUCUUAAAUAGUCCCCACAGAUAGUUAUAAAGUUUUAAAUGAGCAAGAAAGUAUCCUAUUAGUGCCUUAUCAUGCUUUUCUUAUAAAUCGUGCAAUAAGCCCAAGUCAGUUGCACUUCCAGAUUUCCUCCUCAGAAUCCAUAUUGAUAGUAUAUACUUCUUUAUGUAUGUACUAUUCCUGAGGUAACAUGAUCAGCGAAUUCCAAUUUUGUCCCUCUGAUAAUGCUUUCAGACUUACUAGUGUGGAGUUUUAGAAGUUUUACAAAUCGACUUGAGUGAAGCCUCUCAGCGUGUUAUAAGUUCCCCAAUCUUAAUGUCAUGUCCUCACCCUUACGAGUCAUUCAGUUAAGACAGAGUGAGAUAUGUAUUCCUAAAUCAUUAAAUAUUGUAUGCCAAGUUUCUACCUUUCAUAAUUUUGUCAUCAUUAUGUUGUUGAAACUAAAAGUCUAGUGAAGUCGUGUGGGGACCUUUCGAUUCACUAGCAUAAUUGCUUUUUUAUUCACCUCAAGCUGGGUGAGGCCUAUUUUGAUUCACUAACGACUCAUUGUGUAUCUUGAUUCCUCGUUCUGGUUGGAACUGGGUUUAGAGGUGUGGUGGCAAGAAAGGUAGUAAGUAUGAUUUAUUGAAAGUAUGUAUAGCUGAGCCUUUUGUGUGUGAUCGAUUUAGUGAUAUGUCCUUUUACAUUAGCUUGUAAAAAUAGGAGAAGGAGUUAUUGGUUAAGGUAAAUAGUAGUUUACUGAAGUACGAAAAGAGUUGUUGAUGGUGUGUUACAUAAGACAAGAAUAGGUUAUGGAUGAAGAUACUUAGUGAAUGAGUGUUGUUAACUAGGGUGCUCCCGGGAUUGCAAGAGGAAGUUAAGUUGAGGCUUAGAGAGCUAUGAACUAAGUUAAACUAGGUACGAAAGAUAGAUAGCAAUGAUGGGUAGAAGAAGGAUAUGUUGAUGGGUUGUAAAUGAGAUAGGCUUUAUGAUUAUGACCAAUUAUUGUUAUGAGGUUUAAGUAGGCUAGAAUUUAUGGAUAUUUUAUUUUAUAGUUUCCAAGUGAAAAUUUUGUGUGUGAGGUGGAGUUGUAAUUUAUGUUGAGUGCUAGGCAUUAAGCUUGGAUGAUUGGUGGCCAUGAAGGUGGAUGUGAUAAUUUCUUGGUUAAUGGUGCUAGUUAUAGAGAAGUGAUCUAAUAGGUUUGAACAGUGUAUACAAGAGCUUGAGUCUAAUCGUCUUGUAAUUAAGUUUGAUAUUGUAUCCAUGAUAAGGAAGUUUACCCAAAAUGCUAUGGGGCUGUACUAUUUUUGAGCAUCAUUGCACGUGGUAUAGAUAGUGGUGUUGUGGAGCUACUAGUGGAGAAAAGACUAGCCAGGUAAUGAAUAAUAUUCUUAAUGGCGGAGUUAAGGGGUGGAAAUAUAAGUCUACAAGCGUGAUAUUAGUAGGUUAUAACGGUAGUAGUAUGAUCCGUCAAAGGUUGGGAAACAUUCAAGUUGAGCGUUAGAAUCUAAGAUUUGAAAUUUCAAAAAUUGAGUUAAUAGGAAUGAGGGUUGAGUGUUAGGUGGUGUAUACUCCGAAUAUGGGGAUGAUCGUGUAGAUCUGAAGUUAGUGAGCGUGCAGGUAUCAUAUGAUGACUACUGGAGGAAUAGGGGGAUAGGAUGUAAUUCAGACGGUGGUGUAAGGAAGUGGUUAUAUAAUUUCAGAUGUAGUCACUCGGAUUAAAUUCUAUUGUUCUUGUGUAUUGAUUAUAUCCCGAACUCUAGAGUAAAAUAAUUUCAGUUUAAUUAGUGCGUAUAUGGUAGUUCACCUAUUCAGAGUGAUGGCUUAAGUCUAAGGGGGAGAUGAUAGGACGAGUAACCAAGUUAAGCUCCCACAUUUUAGGAGAUGUUCCAGUAAGUUGUAAGGUACCCGUGGGAAAGAAUGAUGCUCGACCCAUUCUUAUUUCAGAGCUUUUCAAUUUUUCCAAUAAUUACUCAUGCUUUACAAUUCAGUUCCAUAAUCAUAACUCAUGCAUACCAGAAAUAAUUGUGCCCUCUCUUAGUUCCCAAAAUGCGGAGUUUCAGAUCUUUUAGCAGUUGGAAUUACAUUUCAUAAAUUGCGAGUUCCAGAUUUAGGUCAUGCGGAUCAUGACUCAUGUACUCAAGUCUUGUGGUAUGCUCAGUUCAAGUACUCAAGUAAUGCUUCUAAUGAUCAACAAAAAUUCAGAUUUAUAUCGUGCAUAUCCUCGGGCUAUAUUUCUUUGAUAAGUUUAUGAUGUAAAUCCUCUAUUCUUCAAGCCUUAGUUAAGUGUCAAGUUAUUCAUAGUAUCUAUUCAUGUGUCAAAUCCUCAUGCUCUAAUCUUUUAGUUGCCUUUCCUUAAUUAAUAUAGUAGUGGUGAAUGAUUAUUUAGACGGGAGAGAGAAGAUAUUUCCUUAUCAACAUCAAAGGGUGGCAUGCUUACUUUGGCUAGGCGGUAGGGUGAAGUAAGAUUGAGGAUAAGUCUUUAAUACAUGCCAUGGUUAGUUGAAGUUUGAUGUGUUAUGAUUGGAAAGAUUUUUCUAUGUUAGUUUUGUGUAAUUCCAUGAGUUUGAGGGGAAAAUUAAAGUGAAGCGUUUGUGUGGGACUUGAUUAGUUAGGAGUAUGUCGGGUGUACUUGUUUAAGGUGAGUACAUGAAAGUUGUUCUUGAUAAGGGGUGUGUAGGACAUGAAGAAGAGGCUUUACACUUUAUAAGUGUUUGAUUAGGAAUGCAUAUGUGGUUAUGAAGAUGGGCUUGGGGGUCGAGUUUGUGUACGUGUGGAUGGAUACAUUGCACCUUAGUAAAUGACUAGUACUAGAUGGAUUGGAGUUGUCAAAAAGGUAAUAAGAAUUACUCUUGAAGUGAGAAGUUGUAAAAAUAUAGAUAUGUGGAAGUCAAUGAUUCAGAAUGGUGUCAUGUGGCGGAUUUGGUGGUUCUAGGUUAGGCAUGAAAAUGAUGAGAGGGUUUGGUUUAAGGAGAUGUGAGUAGAUGGAAGCAUCAGUGCCAUGAGAGGAUUAUAAGUCGUAUCGAUUAAGUAUAGUAUCGGAAGGGUAUAGUAUAGUUGAGAGAGCAUUCGAGAAGUAUAAUUAAGUUUGAGAGUAAGAAGUCGCAUCACUUGAGGCCUAGUACUUCUAUCCUAACUUAUGAUUUACAGGUUUAUGAUCCAAGCUAGGGGAUUAUGGCAAUUCUAUGAUCUCUAAUUCAGAUGUCUUGUUUAGAUCUUGCCCGAAUUUUCUUGCUCCUUCAUACCGUUAGAAUUCCUUGGAAGGGGGUUGAAGGAAUCCUCCACUUAAGUAUGAGCAUCUAGUACAAUUCCGUUUGCAUAGCCGGCAACCCAGCUUUUAAAAUUUAGCAGAUAGGUUCUAUGGUCUUCCAUUUUUCAAAACUAGUCUGGUCUUACCACUAGAAGUUUUAUAAGUACGAUCAAUCCGGAAAGUGGUUGCUUGCAUCCAAAAGCUACGAAUUCAGUUCAGUAUAUGUAUCAGGCAUUAGUUUUAGAUCCGGAUAUCUAAUUAUGAUUCAGUCUGUAGGUAUUCAUUGAACGAUCUUUAUUUUUUCCCAAGUAUUCUAACCUAGACAAUGUAAUACCCAUUGUAUAAUUUUAGCCUUGUUCCUUGUGACCUACGCUUGUAUAAAUUAUCAUUUCGUAGUCUAUGAGUACGACGGCACCCUGAUCACAUCAAGUGAAUCCUAAACUCUCAGCAUGAGCCCGCUCUUUAUUAUAAGCAGAAGGCAAACCAGCUCAGACUUAGUUGAGAAUUACAGUUGUCCUUUAUUCUAUUAUUCUCCAAUCUAGGAUCCGAUGAUAUAGCUAUUCUCACCACGAGUUAUACAUUCAGUGAAGUACUCCAAAGCUUAGAAAGAUACAGAUUCAGAUUACAAGUUGUUUCAGCUAUGUAUCUUUAGUUUUCUCUGUGUUCUUGGCAAAACUAGAAACAUUCGAGGACGAAAGUUUCCAAAGGGAGAUAUUGUAAUACCCCGAUUGUUCCUUAAGUCUAAAUCUGUCUUCUAAGUAUAUGGAAAUGACUUCCAAAGUGAAUGAUGAUAGAACCAUGUAGAAUUUCUCUAAUUUCUACAUUUUUUCAUGUAGAGCAUUGAAUAAGAUUUCCAUCGAUACCAAUUUCAUCGAAAUUCGACAUCGGACAGGGGAGUUAUGGCCAUUUUAUUAAACAAUAUCGGAAUCACCCAAGCCUAACGAUGGACCUGAUGGACUGCCAAGUCCUUGGUGGACCGUAAGGUGUCCUAUCAAGCCAAGGCAGUGACCUCUCUUUUUGGUCAUCGUGUGACGGACAAAGUGGUGGACCGUCAAAAAGUUGAUGAACCGCCAAGGGGUCCCUCGAGUUGAGACAGAAUGUUCCAUUUUUUGCCCCCGAGUGAUGGACGAUCUGGUGGACCGUCAGAUUCCUAACAGAUCGUCACUUCGACCGUCACUCCGAGGCAGAAUAUCUCAGUUUUGGCGCUCGAGUGACGGACGACUUGGUGGACCGUCUGUCCCUCUGAUGGACCGUCAAGUCGACCGUCACAAGCCCCGAUCAGCAAAUUUCAGCUUUUUCAAAAUUCAUUUUGGUAUUUUCCACCCAUUUUGGUAUUAUAAAUAUAUCCAAGUAGUAAAGGAAAGAUCAUUUUCUCUUAUUUCUCUCCAAUCUCUCCAAGAAUUCUCUAGAAACUUGGGUUUUCUUCCAAGACCCAAGAAACAAAUUCCAAUCUUCUUCCAAGAAAUUCAAGAAUCUCCCAUAGAUUUAUCCAAGUGGUUCAAGAAUCAAGCUUUCCUAGUCAAAGGCAUCAAGAAUAUUAGCCUAAAAAGUGCGAGAAAAAAGUUUCAAUCAAGUCUCCUACUCUCAAAUUUAUAUUCAAGGUAUGUGGGGUUUGAACAAGAACACUUCUUUCAUUCUUGUGCCCAAAGAUUUAAUUUCUACUAUUAAAAUACAUGAUUUUGCAAAGUGGGUUUACACCCAAAUUACUUUAUUGAUGAUUUAUGAUAUUUGAGCAAAUCAAGAUUGAUACACAUGACUAUUUCAUCAUUUUAUUCCUUAAAUUGAGAACUUAUACCAUAGUUGAAUAUUGUUAUUAUGAGUUGAUGAUUUCCGAAUGAUUUGAGAUAAGAGUCAUGAUUUAAGCUUUUCUACGAGAAUUUUGAUUAUUGAAUAUAUAUAUAUAUAUAUAUAUAUUGAUAUUUGAGAUUGAGAGUCAAGAAUGAGUCCUAUGAUGUUUCCUUGAAGCUUUUGAUAUUUGAAAAUGAUUCGAAAAGCAAAUGUACUUGAUGUUAAGAAAGAUUGUGUUAAGUUGAGUCGAGUUAGGAAUCCACAAGAUGCUUAUGAUUUACAGAUGAGAUAUAUAAUUAUGUUUUGGUCUUUAUAAUAGACCCAUGAGUUGAUAUUGAUUAAGGUGGAUUUCCUAACGCGUUCUGAGCUGAGUCUGGGAGGAGUAUUUAGCACCGAGCGGGAAAUAUGGUAUUUCUUCAAAACUACGUGCCACCGUAGGAUUGAUAUUGAUAAUUGUGGGCCAGAGGCCGAGUAUGAAAUUUUGAUAAUGAGAUUGAGGUUGUACUCCCUGGCAAGAGUACAACACCCCCGCCAAUGUGGGGUUCUCUUUUUAGGAGGGCAAAACAUUAGACUACAUGCAGCUCACAUGGUGUAGUCAUGUCGGUUAUAAGAAACUCCAAAGUCCAUAAGAAUUCAAGUUUCAUGAGUUACUGAGUCACUCUAAGUCAUGAUUUAAAGAGUUUGAGUUGAGUAUAAUGAUUUAUGAGAUAUAUAAUACUUGCAUUACCAAUGAUGAGUUUUAAGGAAUAUAUUUCAAUUAAUUCAAGCAAAGAAAGUCGUUAUUGUCUACAUGCAUGAUUUUCAUAAUCAUUUAUGAUAUUAUUUAUAAUGUUGCAUUGCACCCCCACAUACUCAGUACAUCCUUUAAAGUACUGACCCCCAUAUAUUUCUAUAUGCUACAAUGCCUUAUAAUGUAGGUAUAAGUUAUGGAGCAGAUACCACAUUUAGUCAGUUUACAGCUUCCAGUCAGCAGGUGAUGAGUCCUUUUGAUUCGAGGGCUUGAGUCAGUUAUACAGUUGGAAGAGUAUCGUAUUUUCUUACUUUAGUCGUAUUGAGAUUGGGUAGUUGGGAGUCAUGACCCAUCUAUCUGAAGUCAGUACCAGUAGAGGCUUCAUAGACAGUCAGUAGAAGUUCAUGUAUUUAAUAUCAGCAUUUGUAAAAGUAGAGUUGUAACCUUGUAACGUUCAUAAUUGUAUUGAUCAAGUUCAGAUAAGUUCUAUGUUUUUGCUGAUCUCAUGGACUUGAGCAUUUUAUUCAGUUGCUUAUGAGUUAUGCCAGUAGAAAGGUUAUCUUAGAGUCACUUAUGCCCCUAAGCACCGUGUGACGUCUCGGGAUGUAAUUUCGGGGCAUUAUACUAGUGCAAAGUCAUGAGCAUCAUUAUAGAUUGUAGGCCAGUAAUACUCAUAUUGCAAGAUUUUGUGAGCUGUACGGGUUCUUCCAUGGUUACCCCCAAUAGGUGAACGAUGACAAGCCUAGAAAAUACUCAUCAUCUCCACUUCUAGGAUGCAUCUAUGAAUUAUACCAUCCACACAAAUACUGAAUAAAUAUACCUCAUCCUAGUAAAAUUUCCUUACCUCAUGAAUAAAUCUCUUUCUUUGCUAGAAUGAAAAGUCUUUUGGGAUAAGAUCACUUGCCAAGUAAUUGGCAAAAUCGGCAAACUAGGGAAUUAGGUCUUGCAAUGCUGCCAAAAUUUGUUCAUCUGGAAAAGUAUCAUUCAUUUUAAGACCAUCCCCUAAUUUCUGCAUUACUUCUUCCUCAAGUUUGUACAAGUGAUCUAUAACUUGAUUUUUUGGUCUUUUACCUCAAAAUCAAACUGUAACGCCUUGAUUUUCUUAAUCAAAAUGCUACACGGUGCUUAUGACCCCGAAGGAUCACAAGAAAAACCAUGACUGAUAUUUAUACUUGUACACUGCAAUAUAUAACGUAAUAAUCAGAAAACAUAAACAUGUAGGCCAUAAGGUUCAACUGAAUAAAGAAUCUGUCAAAAUAUAACAUCCAUAUGGGUUAAAGAUACCCCAAACAACUAAAAACAGAAUCAAAUCUGAACAUAAGUCUGAAUACUGAAUUUGAAAGACUCUAAGUACUAUCUGAAUAAGGAGUUGAAGGAACAUGUCACCAACUAACUCCGUAAACUGAUAACGGACAAAAAUAGAAAUGAAUAAAUCAAAUCAUAUUAUCCUCGAAUGAAGAGGACUCACCAAAUCUCUGUGACUGGAAAUGCUACUGCUACUUCUGAUCUGGUGCUCGUGUCUCUGAACCUAUGGUGUAACAUGAAAAGAAAGCACCACAGCGGAAAUGCAUCAGUACAACUAGAGUACUGAGUAUACGAGUGAGGUAGGCUAAUGUAGAGGGUUUACAUACAGGAAUAAUGCUAAUUGACUGACUGAUAUGAACGUAAGAGUACAAAAAUACAUACAUAGUAACUAAGAUCAUGAGUAUAUGAUGGCUAAAUUUGUACGCUAAUACAUGGAUAGAAUCGUAGUUCUAAUAACAUGGAUGACUGUAUCUGAUAGCCCUGAUUCUGGUUGAACUCUCUGAGUUCUGUGCUAUAACUGAAUUUGACUGUAUCUAACAGUCCUGGUAUACUGAUAUCUGACGAACUGUCUGAGUUCUUUUAGUGAGACUGAUACUGAAACUAUGGGAGGUAGUUGUUUAACUGACAUGCCCCAUAUGUGCCAUUAUGGCUAAGAUGGGGUCCAAUCUCUGCCCUGACUGGAAGGGUGUCAAUACUGCGCCACUGGUAAGGACAACAUGUGAGCAACCCUUAUAUAAUAGGUAACUCUAGUGAGAACGGUGGGAACCCUCAUAUAACAGGUUAAUCCACCUCAUCUACCCUCAUAUAACAGGCUGCGAUGUCUCAACAUAUACUGGCUACAUAGUUCUGGAAUGCAAGGAUGACUGCUAAGAAUCACACCCUCAUAUAUAGGGGAGUUUCCAUCCUUGGGUUAACUCGGUGCUAACUCCUACUCCUAUUUGAAGAGACUGAACAUGAUUUAACUGACUGUAUGUAAUUGGAACUUACUAAAUUUCAUUGACGGACGGAAUACUACUGAUAUCUGAUAACUGAUUGAGACCAUGAGGUUUUAUGAGUCACAUGACUGACUGAAUUCUACUGAAUCAUGGCUUGAUUUUGUAUAUCGUGAAACAUGACAUGGCUCUAGGCACACAGCUAUAGUUUUCGGGCACGAAUACCCCCAGGACUCAAUGAAAGGAAACUGACACAACAUGUCUGACUUGAUCAUAAGAUUGGAGUCCACAAUUCACAUUAUCAUAAGUAGGGGAUAUCAUAUUUCAUAUAGUUAUUCAACAUCUUAAACAUUAUAGGGAAUGUAUGUAUAUAUAUCGUGUACAUAUUGUAUAUCUCCAUUAUCUUCCAUGCUUUAUACCACCACAAUAGCAACAUAUGAAAAGCAUGGAAUUCAUAUUAAAGUAUAUAGCUCACAUGGACUUGUCAUUUAGACAUCAUAGAACCAUACAAACAUGAAUUUCUAGCAUCCUAAGCAUUUUAUCAAACACCUUGCAUGCGUUAUUUAAAGCAUAGGUGGGUUUCAUACUUGCACCAUAUUAAACCACCUAAAUUUCAUGAUUUUCAAUUAACAAACAUAUAUAUUCCAUGAGAACACCUUUAGACAUCACAUUGAAACUUAAACAAAAAUCGUCAACAUGUAAAUACUCAUAUCACCACAAAAAGUUUACAAAAUAAUAUUUAAAACAUGGUUCUUGAUAUCUAUGAACGGAUUGAAUCCAUAGAUGAACACUACGCAUACCUUAGUGAUUGAAUCUUGAAAGAGAUAUAAUGUUUCUGAAGGUUCUUGAAGAAUUCCUUAGGCUUGCUCUUGAGGAGAUGAUCUUGAGAGAAAACCCUAAUCUUGUGGUUGAGAGUAUAAGAGAGGGUUUUUAAGAUGCUUAACUUAAGAAAAAUUAUACCUCUUUAGAGUUAUAAGUCAUGGAAGGUGAAAGAAAAGACCAAAAUACCCUUAUGAAAUAAAUUCCCAUUUGCUGAAAAUCAUAGCUGACGACAUUUGUGACAAGCCGUCAAAAAUGUGUUAAUCCGUCAAAAAUGUCAUCACACAGGAGCUAGAAUUGAUGGUUUCUGCCUAAGUCUGACGACAUUUGUGACAAGGCGUCACAAAUGUGGUAAGCUACCACGAAUGUCGUCACUUAGGAAAUGGUUUCUACCUAAGGCUGACGACAUUUGUGACAAGGAGUCACAAAUGUGGUAAGCUACCAUGAAUGUCGUCACACUGUUUCCAGCCUGACAUGCUGGAGUAAAAUAGGAAUAACUCUUUGCUCCGAUAUCGAAUUUAGAUAAAAUUGGUGUCGUUAGAAAGAUAAUUUAAUUAUAUAUAUUUUGAUAGGUCAUGAGCUCAAAAAUUCUAAGUAUAAUGAGAUAUAUUCUCAUUUGAAUCUAACUAUGGAAAUAUCUUUCUCAAGAAUUUGAUCGGUGAGGAAUGUUUUGAUUCGUCUGAUAGCUAGGCGUUAUUUAAAGCCUUAAUAUACAUCUAACCUACUUAUAAAACUAUAAAAUAACCAUGAUGUACUAUGCAUGAGCUUCGUACAUGGCUCUGAUAUUGGUUUGGAUUUUUUUCGGGGUAUUACAAUAUCUCUUCCUUAGAAACAUUCGUCCUUGAAUGAUGACUGCUUGAGAGGGGAUAAAAGAUAAAACGACGCAUGCACUGAUCAUGCACAACUGGCAUAUGAUUUUAGGACUGAAUGGAAUUCUAAGUUGAAUAUAGUCCAACUGAACAUGCAUAUCUAAUGCAUGACUAAUAAGCUAAACUCAUGAAUGCAUGAUAAGUUAUGCACUGAUAAUUCAUACCAAUUUUAUACUAGAAUUUUGAACAUGUAACUGAAUAAGCUUAAGGAAAAUGGUUACCUCAAGCUAAGUCUGAAUUAGUAGAGAAAAGAUGAGGGUACUUGGUUCGCAUGUUUGCUUCUGCUUCCCAAGUGGUUCCCUCUAUGGACUGAUUUCGCCAAAGAACCUUGACUAGAGGGACUUAUUUGAUCCUCAGCCUACGAUUCUGAUAGUCGAAGAUUUCGACUAGAAUCACUUCAUAAGAGAGGCUAUUCUGAAUAACAAUGCUCUGAAUAGGGACUACAACUUCUGGGUCACCUAUGCACUUCUUGAGCAAAGAGACAUGGAAUACUGGAUGAACUGAGGCUAGAUCUGAAGGCAAUUUGAGCUCAUAGGCUACCUUGCCGAAGCGACUGAGAAUCCAGAAGGGACCGAUAUAUCGGGUACUAAGCUUUUCCUUCUUAUUGAAUCUCUUCGCUCCCUUCAUGGGAGAGAUCUUGAGAUAGACAUAGUCAUCGACCUCGAAUUCUAGAUCCUUUCUAUGAAUAUCUGUAUAAGACUUCUGUUGGCUCUGAGCAGCCUGGAGUCUUUCUCUGAUCAACUGAACUUUCUCUAAGGCAUCGAAUACUAAGUUAGGCUCUAUGACUGCUGUCUUACUAACUUCGAACCAACUGAUUGGAGACCUACAUCUCCUACCAUAGAGAGCUUCGAAUGGAGCCAUCUAAAUACUGGAGUGAUAGUUGUUGUUGUAUGAGAACUCAAUCAAAGGCAAGUGGUCAUCCCACCUUCCCUUGAAAUUAAUUGCACACGCCCUUAGCAUAUCUUCUAGAGUCUGAAUGGUCCUUUCUGCUUGACCAUCUCUCUGAGGAUGAAAUGAUAUACUGAGAUAAACUUAGGUACCAAGACCCUUUUGGAACUCUUUCCAGAAGUGAAAAGUAUCCUGGGUACCUCUGUCUGAGAUAAUAGAUAGUGGAACACUGUGUAAUCUGACCAACUCCCUGACAUAGAGUUUGGCAUAAUCCUCGACUGAGUAAGAGGUACGAACUGGAAGAAAAUGAGCUGACUUGGUCAUUCUAUCUACAAUGACCUAAACUAAAUCAUACUGAUGACGUGUUCUAGGCAAACCCAUUAUGAAGUCCAUGUUCACUUCUUCCUACUUCUAAGUAGGAAUAGUGAAAUCCUGCAUGAAACCACUAGGUUUCAAAUGCUCUAUCUUAACCUGCUGAUAUGUAGAGCACUUAGCCACAAACUCUGAAACGUCCCUCUUUAUCUCACUUCACCAAUAGAUCUCCUACAAGUUGCGGCACAUAUUAGUGGCCCCUGGAUAAAUAGAGUAUCGCGCACCAUGUGCUUCUACAAGAAUUCUCUACCUCAAGUCAUCUACACCGAUAAUACACAGAUGACCCUAACAACAAAGAACACCAUCUCCAUUUUGGGAGAAAACCUCUACUUUCUGACUCUGAACUGACUAUUUUAGCUUGACAAGGGUGGGAUCCCUGUCUUGCUUCUCUUUUACCUCAGAAACUAGAGAUGACUCUGAACUACUCUGAACACAUACACCACCCUCUGAAGAGUUGACUAAGUGAAUGCCUAGUCUGGCAAGCUGAUGAAUCUCCAGAGCUAAUUUCUUCUUACUAUCCUCAACAUGGGAAACACUACCCAUGGACAGUCUACUGAGCGUGUCGGCCACUAUAUUGGCCUUGCCAGGAUGAUAAAGGACACUCAUGUUAUAAUCCUUCAAAACCUCUAACCACCUUCUCUGACGAAGAUUGAGAUCUUUCUGGGAAAAGACAUACUGAAGACUCUUAUGAUCUAUGAAGAUGUCUAUAUGAACAUCGAAUAGAUAAUGCCUCCAUAUCUUUAAGGCAAAGACAACUACUGCUAACUCAAGGUCAUGAGUAGGAUAACUCUUCUCAUGGGGUUUUAACUGUCUGGAGACGUAGGCUAUGACUCUACCAUGAUUCAUGAGAAAACAACCUAAACCUACUCUGCAUGUAUCACAAUAUACUCUGAAUCCAUCUAAACGAUCCGGAAGAGCUAGAAUUAGAGCGGUAGUGAGUCGAGUCUUCAACUCCUGAAAACUCUUCUCGCAAGGUUCUGACCACUGAAACUUAACCUUCUUCUAAGUCAAUCUAGACAUAAGAGAUGAAAUAGAAAAAAAUCCCUUGACAAACCAUCUGUAAUAGCCAGCCAAACCCAAGAAACUCCUGAUAUCUGUUGGAGAUAUGGGUCUGGGCAAGUUUCUUACCGCUUUAAUUUUCUAAGGAUCUACUCUAAUGCCAUCAUCGAAAAUAAUGUGGCCAAGGAAUGCUAUUGAUCUUAGCCAAAUUUUGCACUUACUAAACUUGGCGAACAACUGGUGAUCCCUGAGAGUCUGAAAAACAAUUAUGAGAUUGUCUGAAUGAUCACGCUCUGUACUAGAAUAGACCAGAAUAUCAUCCAUGAAUACUAUGAUGAAUGUGUCCAAGUACUGCUUGAAAACUCGGUUCAUCAAGUCCAUAAAAGCUACAGGGGCAUUGGUAAGACCAAAGGAUAUGACUAGAAAUUCAAAGUGACCAUACCGAGUACGAAAAGAUGUCUUCGGAAUGUCACAUUCUCUAACUCUGAGCUGAUGAUAGCCUGAUCUGAGGUCUAUCUUGGAGAAAUAACUGGCACCCUGAAGUUGGUCAAACAAGUCAUCUAUCCUAGGUAGCGGAUACCUAUUCUUGACCGUGACUUUGUUUAGCUGAUGGUCAUCAAUACACAUUCUGAGAGGAUCAUCUUUCUUAUGCAUGAAUAAGACUGGCGCACCCCAUGGGGAUAUACUGGGACUAAUGAAUCCCUUAUCUAAGUAAUCCUUCAGCUGAUCUUUCAGUUCCUUGAGUUCUAUUGGUGCCAUUUUGUAUGGCAAAAUAAAAAUAGGCUAAGUAUCUGGGAGAAGGUCUAGGCCAAAGUCUAUUUCCCUUUCGGGAGGAAUGCUAGAAAGAUCUUUGGGAAAGACAUCUGAAUAUUCAUUAACCACUAGGACUGAUUCGAGACUGGGAGAUUCAGAACUGGAAUCCUUAACAUGCAUGAGAUGAUACACACACCCCUUAGAAAUUAUUUUCCUUGCUCGAAGGUAGGAAACAACCUGACCCCUGAAAGACGAUGUGCUACCCUUCCACUCUAGGACGGGCUUAUUCGGGAACUAAAACUGAACUAUCCUAUUUCUGCAGUCGACUAUGGCAUAGAAGAAAUGAUCCAAUCCAUGCCGAGAAUGACAUCAAAAUCAGUCAUCUCGAACUCGACUAAAUCUGCUGAUGUGGAUUUCUAAAAUAUUAUAACUGGAUAGUUCUUGUAUACCCACCGAGCUAUGAUGGUUUUACCCAUUGGGGUAGAGACUGAAAAGGGCUCUGCUGAAAUUUUGGGACUGAUUCCAAAAUCGCCUGCUAUGUAUAGAGUGACAAAAGACAAGGAUGCACCUGGGUCUAGCAAAGCUUAAACAUGAACAUAGAUUGUCUAAAACGUACCAAUAACGAUAUCAAAAGAAUUUUCCUAAUCCUGUCGGGUCUGAAGAGCAUAGAGUCUAUUUGGGAGUUGCCCACUAGUAACACUAGAAGUGGCACCCUACUGGUUCGAUUCUGCUGACCCUGAGGACCUGGCUGAGGACAGUCCCUAAAUUUAUGCCCUGGCUUGCCACAACCAAAACAAAUGCCUUGACCUGCUCUACACACACCCUGAUGGUUCUUACCGAAGGUUUGACACUGUGGAUAAGUGCGGGCACUGCUAACACUGCUCUGAGAUGUAGAGCCUGGUGCUCUAUCUCUGUUUUCAUCCCUGAACUUCGGCACUGGGACACUAGCAGAGGAAGGGGCUGGAACUGCUAACUUAGUACGAAACUGUGAAUGAUUUCCUCCCUCUUAUUUGGGCUGAGCAAAAAUCAAACUACCUGAUUUUGCUCUCUUAUUCUACCUCUCUCUAGUCCUAAACUUUUGCUCCUUUAUCUGCUGAGCAUAGGCCAUGAGUCUAGCUAAGGUUAUAUCACUGUUCAUCAUCGCAGAUCUACACUCAUUCAGCACGCUAUCAUUUACCCGUGACAUGAAUUUGCUUAUUUUAUCCCUAUUGUCUGCAACCACAUGAGGGGCAUACCUGGCUAGCUGAUUAAAUCUAAGAGAAUACUCUUUAACUUUCAUAUUUCCCUGCUUGAAAUUGAUGAACUCAAGAAAUUUGGCCUCUCUCAGCUCUUGGGGAAAGAAUCUUUCUAAGAAAGCCGUGACAAAUUCUUCCCACACAACAUGACCUGCAUCCUCUAACCUUUCUGCUAACCAUUGCUUGUACCAAGUGUGAGCGACAUCCUACAAUUGGUAUGCGGAUAACUCGGCACUCUGAGAAAAAGUGACUCCUAUUAUAUCAAUGACCUUCUGGACUUGGUCAACGAAUUCCUGAGGAUCUUCGUCUGGCUUAGACCUAAAGAAGGACAGAGGGUUCAUUCGGGUGAAGUCCCGAAUCCUAGCUGCCGCUAAAUUGGCCACUGGGUUGGACGAAAUGACUGCUGGUCAUUUAUUCUGGGUAGCUACAGACUGAUCAAGAGCGGUAAAUGUGGUCCUGAACUUUUCAUGAGAAAUAUGAUCGCCCAAAGGAUCUUCAGGCUGAUGAGCUGGCUGAUUUCUUCUCUUUGGAGGCAUGUUUCUGAAAUAAGAGAAGAGCAAAUUAGACUAAGAGACUGACUUGAAAUUAUGCUUACUAGCAUGACAUGAAUACUGAAGAAAGGGAACUGUUCCUAAAACAUCUCAUAGCCUCCUGUACAUAAAUGUGGCGCGUAACACACCCAUGUACAAGACUCUACUAGAUGCGGUUUUCAGAAUUCCUAGGACUCUAUUGAACCUUACGCUCUGAUACCAAGUUUAUAACGCCCUGAUUUUCUGAACCGGAAUGCUCACAGUGCUUAUGACCCCGAAGGAUCACAAGCUAACCCAUGACUGAUAUCUGUACCUGUACACUACAAUAUAUAACGUAAUAAUGCGGAAAACAUGAACAUGUAGGCCAUAAGGUUCAACUGAAUAAAAAAUCUGUCAAAACAUAACAUCCAUAUAGGUGAAAGAUACCCAAAACAACUGAAAACUAAAUCAAAUCUGAACAUAAGUCUGAAUACUGAAUCUAAAACCCUCUAAGUACUUUCUGAAUAAGGAGUUGAAGGAAUAUGUCUCCAACUAACUCCGUAAAUUGAUAACAAACUAAAAUAAUAAUGAAUAAAUCAAAUCAUCUUAUCCUCGAACGAAGAGGACUCACCGAAUCUCUGCGACUGGAAAUACUACUGCUACUGCUAAUCUAGAGCUCGUGUCUCUGAACCUAUGGUGUAACAUGAAAAGAAAGCACCAUAGCGCAAAUACGUCAGUACAACUGGAGUACUAAGUACACGAGUGAGGUAGGCUAAUGCAGAGGGUUUACAUACAGAAAUAAUGCUAAUUGACUAACUGAUAUGAAUGUAAGAGUACAAACAUACACACAUAGUAACUAAGAUCGUAAGUACAUGAUGGCUAAAUAUGUACGCUAAUACAUGGCUAGAACCGUAGUUCUGAUAAAAUGGAUGACUGUAUCUGACAGCCCUAAAUCUGGUUGAACUCUCUGAGUUUCGUGCUAUAACUGAAUUUGACCAUGUCUAAUAGUCCUGGUAUACUGAUAUCUGAAGAACUAUCUGAGUUCUUUUAGUGAGACUGAUACUGAAACUGUAGGAGGUAGUUGUUUAACUGACAUACCCUAUAUAUGUCAUUAUGGCUAAGAUGGGGUCCAAUCUCUGCCCCGACUGGAAGGGUGUUAAUACCGCACCACUGGUAAGGAACACAUGUGAGCAACCCUCAUAUAACAGGUAACUCUAGUGAGAACGGCGGGAACCCUCAUAUAACAGGUUAAUCCACCUCAUCUACCCUCAUAUAACAGACUGUGAUGUCUCAACCUAUGCUGGCUACAUAGUUCUGGAAUGCAAGGAUGACUGCUAAGAAUCACACCCUCAUAUACAGGGGAGUUCCCAUCCUUGGGUUCACUUAGUGCUAACUCCUACUCCCAUUUGAAGAGACUGAACAUGAUUUAAUUGACUGUACGUAAGUGGAACUUACUGAAUUUCAUUGACUGGCAGAAUACUAUUGAUAUCUGAUAACUGAUUGAGACCAUGAGGUUUCCUGAGUCACAUAACUGAUUGAAUUCUACUGAAUCAUGGCUUGAUUUUGUAUAUCAUGAAACAUGACAUAGCUCUAGGUACACAGCUAUAGUUUUCGGGUACGAAUACCCCCAGGACUCGAUAAAAGGAAACUGACACAACAUGACUGACUUGAUCAUAAAAUUGGAGUCCACAAUUCACAUUAUCAUAAGUAGGGGAUAUCAUAUUUCAUAUAGUUAUUCAACAUCUUAAACAUUGUAGGGAAUGCAUGUAUAUAUAUCGUGUACGUAUUGUAUAUCUCCAUUAUCUUGCAUGCUUCAUACCACCACAAUAGCAACACAUGAAAAGCAUGGAAUUCAUAUUGAAGUAUAUAGCUAACAUGGACUUGUCAUUUAGACAUCAUAGAACCAUACAAACAUGAAUUUCUAGCAUCCUAAGCAUUUUAUCAAACACCUUGCAUGCAUUCUUGAAGGCAUAGGUGAGUUUCAUACUUGCACCAUCUGAAACCACCUAAAGUUCAUUGUUUUCAAUUAAGUAACAUAUCUAUUCCAUGAAAACACCUUUAGACAUUGCAUUGAAACUUAAACAACAAUCGUCAACAUGUACAUACUCAUAUCACCACAAAAAGUUUAUAAAAUAAUAUUUAAAACGUGGUUAUUGUGCUCUAUGAACGGAUUGGAUCCAUAGAUGAACACUACGCAUACCUUAGUGAUUGUAUCUUGAAAGAGAUCUAAUGUUUCUGAAGGUUCUUGAAGAAUUCCUUAGGCAUGCUCUUGAGGAGAUGAUCUUGAGAAAAAACCCUAAUCUUGUGGUUGAGAGUGUAAGAGAGGGUUUUUAAGAUGCUUAACUUAAGAAAAAAUGGGAAAAAUUAUGACUCUUUAGAGUUAUAAGUCGUGGAAGGUGAAGGAAAAUACCAAAAUACCCUUAUGAAAUAAAUUUCCAGUUGCUGAAAAUCAUAGCGCUGACGACAUUUGUGACAAGGCGUCAAAAAUAUGGUAAGCCAUCAAAAAUGUCAUCACACAGGAGCUGGAAUUGAUGGUUUCUGCCUAAGUCUGACGACAUUUGUGACAAAGCAUCACAAUUGUGGUAAGCUACCCCGAAUGUCGUCACUUAGGAGCUAGUUUCUGCCUAAGGCUGAUGACAUUUGUGACAAGGUGUCACAAAUGUGGUAAGCUACCACGAAUGUCGUCACACUGUUUCCAGCUUGACAUGCUAGAAUAAAUUAGGAAUAACUCUUUGCUACGAUAUCAAAUUUAGGUAAAAUCGGUAUCGUUGGAAAGCUAAUUCAAUUAUAUAUAUUUUGAUAGGUUAUGAGCUUAAAAAUUCCAAGUAUAAUGAGAGAUAUGCUCAUUUGAAUCUUACUAUGGCAAUAUCUUUCUCAAGAAUUCGAUCGAUGAGGAAUAUUUUGAUUCAUCUGAUAGGUGGGAGUUAUUUGAAGCCUUAAUAUACAUAUAACCUACUCAUAAAACUAUAAAAGAACCAUGAUGUACUAUGCAUGAGCUUGGUAUAUGGCUCUAAUAUUGGUUUAGUUUUUUUUUGGGGUAUUACACAAACUCUUGCAACAAGAGAACCCAGCGAAUCAAUCUUAGGUUUGUAUCUUUCUUUGACAUUAGGUAUCUCAAGGUUGUAUGAUCUGUAUGAACGAUGACCUUAGUCCCAAUCACGUAAGACCAGAAUUUUUUAAAGGCAAAAACAAUUGCUAGCAAUUCAUGCUCGGUAGCAGUAUAGUUCUUUUGAGCAGGGCUUAAUGCCUUAAUGGCGUAGUAAAUUGGGUGAGGUAUAUUUUCUUACCUUUGGUCUAGGAUAACACCUAAAGCAACAUCGCUUACAUAACACAUGAUCUCAAAUGGUAAGGACCAGUUAGGGGACACUAUAAUAGAGGCUGGUACCAACCGCUUCUUCAGGCAUGCAAAAGAUUUUAAACAUGCCUCAUCAAAAUCAAACUUCAUCUCUUUCUAAAGAAGCUUGCAUAAAGGGUUUGCAAUCUUAGGGAAAUCCUUGAUGAAAUGUUUAUAAAAGCUAGCAUGGCCCAAAAAACUCUGAAUACCCUUCAUUGAAACUGUGGAAGCUUCUCAAUUACUUUAAGUUUUUCCUUAUCUACCUCUAUUCCCUUUUUCAAGAUCUUGUGGCCAAGCACAAUUCCUUCUUUCACCAUGAAAUGGUAUUUCUCCCAAUUUAGCACUAAAUUACAUUCCUCACAUCUAUGAAGAGCAUUGUCCAAAUGGAAUAAACAGUUAUCAAAAGUAUCACCAAGAACAGAAAAAUCAUCCAUAAAUACCUCAAUAAUGUAUUCCACCAUAUUAGAGAAUAUCGAUAUCAUACAUAUCUAAAAGAUGGUGGGAGCGUUGCACAAUCCAAAUGGCAUUCUCUUUAAAGAAAAGUCCAAUAAGGGCAGGUAAUGGUCAUUUUUUCUUGGUCUUUAGGUGCAAUAGUGAUCUGAUUAUAACCCAAAUGCCCAUCAAGAAAACAAUACCAACCCCUACCUGCUAACUUGUCUAGCAUCUAAUCUAUAACGGCAUAGAAAAAUGGUCCUUCUGAGUCCAUAUAUUUAGAUUUUGGUAGUCCAUACAUACUCUCCAACCUGUGACUGGUCUCAUUGGCAUAACCUCAGUUUUCUCAUUUGGCACUACAAUAAUUCUUCUUUUCUUAGGGAUGCAUUGAACAGGACUGACCCACUUGCUAUCUGCAAUUAGGUAAACUACACCAGUAUCUAACCACUUGAUAAUUUAUUUCUUUACCACCUCCUGCAUGGGAGUAUUUAUCCGACGCUAAUGCUAAAUACUAGAAAUGCAGUCUGAUUCAAGCUGUAUUUUAUGAGUAUAAAUUCCAGGUGAGAUACCCACAAUAUCUGCAAUGAUUCACCCUAUAGCUUUUUUAAACCUCUAAAACAAUGAUAACAAUUCCUCCACCUUAGCCUCAAUCAGGACAACAACAAUAAUUACUAGAAAGGUGUUGUUGGCCCCUAAAAAUACAUAGAGAAAGUGAGAUGGGAGGGCCUUCAACUUGAAGACUAGUGGCUCCUCAAUAGACGAUCGAGCAGUAUAAUUGGUUUUAUUUUUAAGAUUGAGAUUAAGCUUCUUUGGAGAAUAGUUAUAAGAACCUCUCCCGUACAAAGCUCUCGCUAGCUUGUCAUAUUUCCUAAUUACAUCACUAUCAAACUUAAUAAUCAUUGAUGAUAAUGCUUUAAAACCCAACCUCUCCGUAAUUGGAAUAUACUGCAUCAACCUCAUCAUCAAUGGUGUCUAUCACAAACACUACCUGUAUAUCAGCAAGAUACUUCAUUGAAUGGCCUACAUUGAAAAUCACUUGCUCAACAUUGAGUCUAAACCUCAUCUGUCCUAAUUCCAUAUCAACUAAUGCCCUACCCAUAGAAAAAGAGGGUCUACCCAAGAUGAUAGGGACUUGGAAGUUUACUUCACAAUUAAGAAUAAUGAAAUCGUCUAGAAAUAUGAAGGACACCACCUUCACCAACACAUCACAAUGAAUACCCACUGAUCGCUUCAUCAUUCCAUCAUCCAUCAACAAUCUCAUAGAUGUAGGCUUGGGUGCCCCCAAUCCCAACUAUAUAUAAACCACCAACGACAUCAGAUUAAUAUUUGCUCCUAGAUCAAAUAAAGUCUGAGUGAAGUUGAAUGACCUAAUAGUGCAUGGGAUGGUAAAGCUCUGGGAUCCUUCUUCUCUACCAAUAAUCUGGAAGCUACAACACUGCAGUGGUGUAUAUUAUCAGUGGUCUUAUAACUCACCAUCUUCUUCUUAGUGACCAAAUUUUUUAUGAAUUUUGCAUAUCCAAACAUCUGCUCCAGUGUCUCUACCAGGGGAAUAUUGAUAGACAGUUUCUUUAACAUUGAUAAAAACUUAUGAUAUUUACCUUAUUCUUGCUUUUUUCAACCUUUGAGGAAAAGGUAGGAGAGGUCUCUGAAUAGUCUUCAAUACCGGCUCAACAACCUUCCCUUUUUCUUUAUCCUUAUUACCAGUAUGCUUAACACAUGUCUAUUUUUAAGAUAUUGCUAUAGGUGUCUCAUCACCAUUGAUCUCAUCACCAUUAUUCUUUAGCUUUUCCACGACAAGCAUAGGAGGAACUAUAGUGGUUUAACCACUCUAAGUGGUAAUGGUAUAACAAUGACUAUUAUUUUUCAAAUGUUGCACUAUAUUAUUGGGAAGAGUGCCAGGCUGUCUCUAAUUCAAAGUGGCCGACAUUUGGCCAAAUUAUUUCUUUAGUUGUCUUAUCACGGUGGUAUGCGACUCAACUUUUUGAUUCAACUCUGAUAUGUCCGAUUUUAUUUCCUUAAGGCAGCUUUCCUGACUCUCUUGGCCUUUUACUAACUUGGAUAACAUUGCUCUCAUUCUUAACAUGAUAUCACAAUAGCUAGUUGUAACAUAUCUCUCACUCUUCUCUUUAUAGUCAUCUUUAUGCCUCCAAUCACCAUCUUGCUCUCUGCUUCUAUCUUGGUAUCUGUCACCAUUAUAGUUCUGACCUUAGUUUUCUUGACCCUUGGCUUAAAAACCCAUUAUUUCUCAAUCUAGAUACUUUGCCUCCUCAUCCACAUCAGACUCAUAAGCCCUUGAAGCAGACCCAUGUGCCCCUACUAUAUUCACUUUUUCAAAAUUCAUCACUGCAAAUUACUUCAUAAGUAACCCAAUAUUCGUUAUGAGUUGUGCAACUUCUUGCUCUACUGAAUUUUCACCAACUCUGUAGUCACUAGCAGCCAUAAUACAAUAUGUACUAGAACCUCUAUUAGCCUACCGAGUGUGCCAUCCUCAAUUAGUGACAAAGAUCUCAUCAAGCAUUUCCUAUGCUUUAUCCCAACGAAGAUGCAUAAGUCCACCUAUAGAUGUUACGUCUAUCAUCACCCUAGAACUUAUAUUCAUGGAUCUAUAGAAUAUCUCUAGCGAAUUAGACCCUGGAAUCUGGUGAUUAGGUACCAUGCUUAAAUUUUUUUUGAAUCAAAACCAUGCUUCAUACAUGGACUUUGCAGGCAACUGCCGAAAGUUGUAAAUCUCAUCUUUUAAUUGUAGCAUCCUAGAAGGAGGAAAGAAUUGAUUCAAAAACUAUCUACACAACUCAUUAUAAGUAGUAAUUGAGCUCUAAGAAGUUCCCCCAACCACAAUGAUACUUCUUCUGUCAACGAGAAUGGGAAUAACAUCAAUCUCAAUGCUUUCUGAUCCACCCUUGGGAAUGUAUAUGAAGUGGAGAUCCAAGUAAAAUUAUCAAGAUACAUGCUCGCGUCAUCUAUCAACAACCUUGAAAACAUACUUUUUAGAUUCAAUAUCUAGAUCAUUACACUAGUAAAAUCAAACUUAACAUUUAGGGGUAAAGCAGGAGGAAUAAUGUCCCCUGUAUCAGCAGGCUCAUUAUAUCCCAUGUCCUCAUCUUUAUCAUAUAGUGGUAGAACUGAUAAGAUGGCAUCACUCGAGAUCUACCACCAUGUGCUCUAUCACGAUCACCAUUGAGUGUUGCUUGACGAUCAACUACUAGUUAUAGCCUGGUAAGCUCUACUGCUAAGGUAUCUGGGUUUCUUCAGCUGCUCUUCUCUGUUGUUCAGCUGCCUCUGCUAACAUCAACUUCAUCUAUCUAUUAAUAAUAUUCUGCAAAUAACCUAGAGCAGGGGAAAGUACAAUGAGAGAGUCAUCCCGAAUGCCUUCUAAAUUGCCUACCCAUACUUGCUUACUCAUCAUAUGAUUAGGCUAUAGUAGUCUUUCUAGUUUAGGAUUCAAUGGGAGCAAGGAAUUUCUUCGACUCCUAGUGUUAGGCAAACACCGGUGUAGACCCAACUAAGAAUAGAAAAUAAAAGACCCAAAACUUUAACAAAUUCAAUCAACAACUCAAUACUGUAUUCCCCAGCAACGGGGCCAAAAUUUGAUGUCGCCCAAAACUAACCUCUAAAAAAGUAUGCUGCGGUUGAUGUAAAAUAUAGUAACACAUACCACGUUUGGGUCGAACCCACAAGAAAUACGUGAAAUUAUAUCUAGAACUUAAUGAAAUUACAGGAAGUACAGAAAAGUAAAUGGAGAGAUUUACAAGUUACAGUAACACGUAAUUGAUAUUGAGUACGUGAGGUUGUAAAUAAUAGAAGUUGAACACUAGACAUGUGUUCCCCUGUCUUCUAACUCUGAAAGAUUCUCAUCUUUGAUUCACCUAUCCCACUGUUCUGCAUGCAAAGUAGGAGUGAGUAUGGUCCACUUGUACUUAGUAGGUAUCAUACGCCAAUCGAGCAAAGUAGAAAAUAAAGUAUACAAAAACAUACUAAGGACACGCCCUUUAUAAUCAAAAAAUAUCCCACAAUGGUAGCCCACACCACUUGUAUUAACAGUUCUAAUAUAUAUAUAUAUAUAUAUAUAUAUAUAUAUAUAUACAAGUAACAUAAGUAUACAAUAUGUCACAUGCGGGUACAAACAGAGAAGAACAUAUAUAUACAAGGUGGUCAAGUAUAAAUAACAGGACAUAUAGCAAGUAGACAUAUAACAAUUCAAUAUGAAAAUUCAACCACUACAUCAACUCAACAAAGUAAGUACAAUGUAUAAGAUAAUGAUGUCAAUGAUGAUGAUGAUGAUGAUGUUGGCUACACCCUUAAGAUUGGCACACAACCUUAAAAAUAUGUACACAACCUUAAAAAGGGGCACACAGCAUUAAAAAUUGGCACACAACCUUAAAUUGGCACACGGGCUUCUAGUAUUUCCAGUAUUUUCAAUGUUUGUCAGUUUUUCCAAUGUUGUCAGUGUUUUUAAACCAUAUAUAUAACAUAAGACACAAAUAAAGUACACAUACAUGACAAAAAGUGUAUAUAAAUAAGUAAAACAAACAAGUGAGACGAUGCCUAUGAUGAUAUAAGAAUGAAAAUGCAAUAUUUACAUCCAUUCAAAAUGAGUAUUUCCACAACCAAUCCACAAUGUAUUUCCACAACCAACCACAAUGUUAUAAUUUCACAACCACAUGAGCCAAUAUCCAAUCAUUAUUUCCACUAUACAUGACUUUUUCACAUGAUUCAUAUGUCCACAAAGUAUGAACAUAUCACAACAUGCCAAAGGCACCAAAAUAGGUAUUUCUAAUAAUACAAUACAAUUAUUCACAUGAAUUUUAGGCUAUCAACAUCACAUAAAACCCCGGACAGUCACAUACAUCACAUGAUAUCUCAGAUUUAACAGUUGCAUCACAUUCAGUCCCCCACACAGGCAUAACAUAUAGAUAUCCAUAUUUCAUGAUUGGUUUCUACCAUUAACAUGCAUUUUGUACCAUUAUUUACUACCCAACACAGUCUGAAAUAGUUAAGACAAACCUACCUCGAAUGCCGAAAUCGGUUCGCUACACUUUGAAUCCAUGACCUUACUUUCCACGAAUAAUUUUGAAAUACACUAAAAACUUCAAAUAUGAAAUCUAUGCGUCAAAACAAAAUCAAUAAUACCCAUAUUGACUACUUUUGAUUCGGGAUCAAAACAGAUCCUCAAAACAGAUUUUCAAAAAGGAAGUGCAAAAUCAUAAAUUUACUUCAAGAAUGUGUUUUUCAUAUUUUAAGGAGCCUACAGCUGAAAACCCAAGUCAAAUUGAGUAAAAAACAAGGUUCAAAUUGAAGAAAAAUCAUUUUUAAUCUUUACUAGGUAAAAUCUUUGAAAUCUAGGUUAAAGUCAAGAAUUGAAGUUGUUUUGAAGGUUAAAUUAACGAAAAUAAUAGUAAUUAUAAGAUUAAAAAUAUUAUUCAAGUGAAAAGAAGUGAAAUUGGGGUUUAAAAUUAAGCCCUAAGAUUUUUAAGAUUUUGAAAAAUUAAUCAAGAAAUUACUAAGAAAAUGGGUGAUUUCUUACCUUAAAUCUGUAAGAGAAUCAAGAAAUAGAUGUUAAUCUAGCUUCUCAAGCACCCAUAAGCUUCACUUUAAGCUCUCACACUAUUUUAGGGUUUAACUCUCAAGAGGAAGAUGAAAAAUGAGCAAAAUGGGCCCAAAAAACUGCUUUAAUAGAGCAGAUUUUUCUACACCAUCUAUUGAAAAAGUUAUUUUUUUGAAGUCCAACCCGAACUUUGACGUGAUGUUCGAAAUUCGGUUAGAGUCCAAUAUACACAAACAAAUUAUGUAACCACACUAAUUAGAUGCUCUGAACUCAAUGGCGAUAUCAAACUUUCAAAAAAUAUCGUUUUCACAAAGUUGAUCCCCGAAACCCAAAAUCACAAUUUUCCAAACCGAGGGUCGAAAUGAAAUUUAAAAAUCAUAAAAUCACACUAAAUAUAUUACCAUCCUAACAUUGACAUUUUGGAUGCGUUGGUGAAGUUAGAUUUUCCAUCCGAGGUCGUGUGGAUCCCACACCUAUAUUUUUAAUUUUCCAACUUUUCGAUCAAUAAUUUGAAAUGAGCUCAGAUGCAUCAAGACUCGAACCAAAGGUCUACCUAUCCUAAAAUCAAUAUUUUAGAGUUGUUGGCACAGUCCGUUCACUCAUUCUCGUACAGAUGAAAAGAUAUCCACAUAAAUUUAAAAUAAGGCUCUCGAAACCAUAAAAAAAAUAUUGCAUAAAUGGUACCAAAAUACAUUUGAGAGUCGUGCCAAUUACCCCCACGCUCUAAAAAUACCAAAACAUAACUACAGAAAGGGGUAACAUAGUCAAAUCACACAGAAACACACAUUUCAUAUAUUUCAUCAAAUUUUUAGGUCGUUACAUUUUUUUUGCCGUAAUACCAUGUCCAAUUUUUUUAAAAAAUUUAUGAUAGAUAAUGUGGAUCAAUUGCUUCUUUAUCGGAGUACAUGGCUUAUAUAUAUUCUCCUGAAUGAAGUCAUCUGCUAUGUAUAUAGGCCAUGAAUCAUUGUCUUAUUCUCUUCCUCAUAAUUCACCCUUUUUUAUUAGUUGACUUCUAAAUCUGAUAUGAAAAACUUUCUCAUCAGAUUUACAUGAUUUAUAUUUUGUCAUUUAGCUAAGAAAGACACCCCUCCACUUGUAAGGAUGAUAGAGACAGAUAGAGAGAAGAUAGUUAAAAAUACAGGUAGCAACGCGCAUUAAUAACAACACAUACAAAUAGCUAGGAAUUUCAAUAGAAAGACUGUCUAUCACCUCAAUCAUAACCGCUGCAGUUGCAGGAUUAUAACCAUGCCAUGUAACUAUAUUAACCUUAUAUAUAAGCCAACAACAAAAGGACUAAUAAUGCAUAGGCCAAUUAUACCAAAAUAAUUAAAAGUUGUGCCAACAAGAGUUGGAUAAUAUUGCAUCAGAUGGUAGUACAAAGAGCUAUCUAAGAUGUACAGUAAAAUCUUUAAGCUCUUUUCUCUGUCUGGCCCAGUUUUAUUGGCUAUAAUGAUGUUAUAUCCACGUGUAAAGAAAUGAUGAUCAAAAGGUCUAAGAGCGAACUGAUUCUCCCAAUUGAAUCCCAAGCUGCUCAAUCUCUAUUCCUUUCUCUUUCAAACUUGAAUUGGUGAUUCUUUCUUUUUUAUGGAUCUAUUUUUAUGGUAUGUGAUGAUGGUAGUACACCUGCUUUACUCCUUCAAUGUCGUAUAGAUAUAUUAUUUUCAGUUCUUAUGUGAUAUUUGUUAGAUUUGGUAAUUUUUGAAUACUUUAUUGUAGGAUUUUGUACUUGCAUAUUUCUAAUUUUAUUUGAUUUACAAAUGGAUGUUUGGAAAUUGAUUCACUUCUCUUUCUUUUCUUUGUUUAGUUUAUAUUUUUUGAAUUUCAUAGGUAUUAAGGCUCAUAAAAAACUUGAUUGACUUUUGAAUUUUUAUUGAUAAUGUCGUUUGGUUAGUUCACUGUCCUAAUUUGAUAUUUGAGAUUCAUUUUUUGAUUUGCAUUGUUCAAUCUUUUGGUUGUUAAAAAGUGACUAUGAUCUUAAUUAUGGCUCAAGCUAACAGUAGCACAAAGUUCAAAAAGUAAUGUAGCGAUAUUUGAAGGAAAACCAUUCUUCUGUACCAUAACCAAAUUUUCUCCCACGCUGCUUCUGUGCCAUAACCAAAUUUCCUCCCACACUAGCAGAGUUCUAGCAAAUGGUGAAGCAAUUUUCUUCAUGUGGUAAGCCAGUUUUUUGGAUACCAACUUCUCAUAUGAACCGAAAUUGAUUUUUCUUUCCUCUUUCAAGAAUGAAAUGAAUUUAGAGAUGGUCACAGUUGUUCAAACUUAGUGUGUUUGAUCAAAUUCUCAGGCAAAGAAAGAUAAUUACAACAAGUUUGUUAUCCUUUUCUCUGCAACUAUCAACAACCAAGUUCAUCGCUUAGCGUAAUAGUAUGGAUAUUAGUCAUUGGGAUUUCUUUUGUCAUGUUAUUGUGACUUUAUGCUACAUAUAAGGACAUAUAUCUUGGAUUGAAAAUAGACAUCAAUUUAGUUGAAUUGUGCUCUCAUUGAAUUUAUCACAUUUGCUUAUUUGGUGUUAAAAUUAUUUUCACAAUAGCAACUACCUUCUCAACUUGUGGAUAAAGAAAAGGAUUACUAGACGAGAAAAAGGACAAUAUAUUUCUUUACAGUGUUCUGUUAAUCGUUAACCAAUAAAAAAAUGUGUUGUGUUAGCAUAUUUCUCUUAAAAUUACUUAACUACUUAACUGGGAAGGCUUAUAUUAUGAAAAAAGUGGAGAAAAAUUCUGAAGUUUAUACCUUUUAUUUGUAAUUUUUUAAGGAAAAUUCUAACUUAAAUUGGUAUAUUCUUCUUUGUGCAGUUUAUAAAUUUUCAUGACAAAGAUGCUACAUUCAGUUUGCUGAUACAGGUAUUGAAUCCCAAACUUGAUUUUGUAUAUGUAUUUUAGAUAAUUAAAUCGACUUCAACAUUUUGUUCGAAAUCAUUUUUGGUACAUUAAAAAAUUCACAAUUUGAAGGGUAUUUUGACUAUUUAAUCAAACUUUAUUAUAAUCUGCGUGUUGCAUUUACCUAUCUUUCUUUCCUUUUUCUUUUACCUUUAGUGGCCGAGAAAUAGGUGUCCAAUAUAUCAAGAAGUGUUGCAUUUACUUAUAAAAACACUUUAGUACUAAGUACUUACUAUUGUCCCUUUAAUUAAUGCUUUUUCUGAGAAAUUAAAGUGGUCCAAUCCAAGAAACAUUGAAUCAUUUUCAGUUGCUAGCAUGGCUAACAACCUUUUGAAGGGGUCAUUAGAUGAUUUCUUUGAACAAAUCUUGGGAUUUCCUGCAUACAACAGAGCUGAACCUAAUUUGGCGGGAAACGAUCUCGGAGCUAUACCCUCGGCGAUGAUGCUUUAGUUAAACUCCAAUGAUGGGUUAGGGCAGUUUAAUGGAGUUGGUCUUGGUGUUGCACUAGGUGGAAUUAGGGGUGGGGGUGGGGGUGAGGGUUCUAUCAUAGAGGGGGUCGUGGUGGUAGUUCAUUUCCAUUGGGGUUGAGUUUCGAACAAGGGAAAGGUAGUGAUGGGUUCGUGAAGAUAGAUAAUGUUUCAGCACCUGGAAGGAGAUUUAGAGAUGGUGUUGUUGAUAGCAGGCCUUCUUCUUCUGUUAAACUUGUAAUUAUUUCCUAUUUCUUUUCUUACUUUUUUAGUUUCUUGAUUUCUUCUACUUUGAUGUUGUGUUCCAUUUUGUCUCUUUUUUUGUGCAAGUUGAUGGAGUGUUUCCUAGGAAGCUUUCACCAAAAAGAUUUCACCUUUAUGCCAUUUGUUUUUUCUGAUUUUAUUUCUCGCUUGAACCUGCUAUCUGUUAGCUCACUGCUAGAAAUAGAGGUUUCCCACCCUGAAUCAAUGAGAAAUUUGUGUUCUAUAAUAUGAUUUUUCUAUCUAUUUACCAUCGAAUCAUCUCUCUGGAAAGCCUACAGUGGAAAAUAGAUUUUCAUUAAAAUACUAGAAAUCUUUCUAAUUUUUUUGUGUGAAAACACUACUAUGUUUUCUUUUCUCACCGAUUCAAUCAAAAUAUCUAUGAAAAUAGCCAAUGAACAUUUUUCAGUAAGAAAUCUCAAAGAAGAAUAGUGAUUUUUUAGUAGUGUUUCUGCCGUUUGUUCUUCCAUGCUUUAAUGAGAAGGAUCAAAGGUUGACGCUGCCUCUUUCACAGCUCCGGAACCACAGGUAUUGCUAUCUCAAAAAUUUUUAUAAUAAGAUCUCUUCUAUUUUAUGUGCCAGUGUCAAAAGAGUGUUUUUUUAUAGUAGUAUUUCUGAAUAUUAAUCCAGACCUAUUGUUAAACAACCAUAUAUUUCCAUUGAAAUCCAACAAUGUCAUGCUUUUAUCGGAUAAGUAUUAGAAGUGCCAUACAUAGUCAUGGUUUAGCCAUUCAGAACUGCUCGAUUAUUUAUACUCUAAUCAGGACCUGUUGUUCUCUUAUUUCGAUCGUGCUACUUUCUUCUAUCAUGGGCUUUAACCAUGCAACUCACUUUUCAAAAAAUAUUCUUUUACUUGAUAAUGUGGAAGUUGUUUAUUGUUGAUUUAGUCUUUGAGGGAAGGUUUGUAUCUUUGUGGGUUUCUUUAAAAUUGAUUAUUUUGGUUUGCAAUUGACGAACUGGCUUCAUUUCUAUGGGUUUCUUUAAAAUCAAUUAUUUUGGUCUGCAACUGAUGUACUGAUUUCAUUCGUACAACUAAAUGCAGAACAGAUUUCACUCUUAGAUGUAUUACCUUCCUCUUUUGAAUGACAGGUGCGCACUGUGUUGGAUAUUGGUUUGGUGCCCGCCUAUUCUCACUGAAGUUGAUAGCUAAAAUUCCUGAGGUGUCAUGUGUUGUAAAUAACCAAAUAGUGUAAGGAUCCUUUUUUGAGUAUCUAUGAUUUGAUAAGUAAUAAAUUUCUGUACAGUUGUAAUGAAAUCACUGAAUAGUCCAUCAUGUGGCCUAAUGAUGCUGGGAUUUUACUUUUCUCAAUCCAAUUGUUGAAUUGCUUGUGGUAGGCUUGAGUAACUAUUAGGAGUUGAUGGCACCCCUGUUACGUGAGAAGUGUGAACAAUUUUGCAUCAAUCAAAGACACUACUGACCGAAAGAAACUUAUAUAAGUGACGUAUGAAUCUAACCAAUACUGACAUGAAAAUUUCAUUAAAAAAUUGACUUGAUCAAGGAAGCAGACUUAAAUUCUAGAAUCUAAGAUGUUCUUCAGACUUGUGAAGCUCUUUUGAAUGUGUCUAGAAUAACAAUUUAGUUUUGUCGAUGUUGAGCCCGCCAUCUAAUCUGAAAAUAAACAAACAACUAAAAGAUUCAAUACUAACCAUAAAAUGCACACUAUACCCGUACCUUUGGGAUAGAGUUUAACACUGAACAAUAUUUUAAAAACAAUUAGGAUUCUAUUAAUCUGUCGCUUACACCUACACUAAGAAUUCACUUAAAAAAUAGUUGAAAACGAAAAAAGAUAAACAUUUGAUAUUUCCAUCUAUUCCCUUCAAUGGCAACAUAUUUGUUUCAUCUAGUUUUUCGAUCAAUUUUCACUUGAAAAAGAAACACGAAAAAUUAUCAAAAGAAAAGAAUACAUUGUAAAUUAUUGAUUACAUAUAGUUUAUGCAUAUAUAAUUUUUAAUUGUAUUAACUUAAAAAAGAUUGAUGAUGAUAAUGUUGAAUGCAAGAACUUGAAUCAAAAUAAAAGAACUAAAAAAAAGACGGACGAUGAUAAUGUUGAACGCAAUACCUUGAAUCAAAAUAAAAGAAGAAAAGUAGAAGAAGCAUCGUGGAGAUUUUCUUGUGCCUAUUCUUUGGAUGUGUUUUAUCCAAUUUUUUUUGUACCAAACUUAUUUUAAUUGGAAAAAGGAUCUUUGGUAUAAGAAAUUAACCAAAAUAAAAAUUUGUUGCCUAUUUUUUUUUGAAUAUUUUUUGCCUUUGGUUUUUUAACAUCUUUUGUCUCUCUUUUUUUUUUUUUCCUGGGGAGAGGGAGGAGUAGGGGUGGACAUAUUUUGGUUUAAACCAAAAAAAUCAAAAAUUUAAAUCGAAAUUUAAUUUUGAUUUCGAUUUUUCGGAUCGGAUUCGAUUUGUAAUUUUAAAAUUUCAGUUUUUCGAUUCGGUUUUCGGUUUUAAAAAAAAUCGGUUAAACCAAAAAACUAAAAUUUUAUAAAUAAAUAAAUAAUAUAUAUAUUUUAUAUAUAUAUAUAUAUAGUAAUUCACAUUCACAAUUAACAUUUAACGGCAAAUUCGCAUACGUCGCAAGCUGUUUAUGGAUUGUUUUAGUGACUCAAAUAUUUUAUGGACUAUUUUGGUGACUUUGGACUGUUUUAUGGACUAUUUAUGUAAGAUUAUAUUAUAUGUAAUUAUUAAUGACGUUAUGUAUUAUGUUAAGCUUAUGAUUAUUUCAUUUCGUUUCAUCCAUGUUGAGUUAUUUAUAGUUAUUUAUUUUUGAGAAUGAAAAACAGGUUUGAAAAAAUAAUUUUUCUAAAAAAAACUAUCAUUUUUAAAUGCUCAAUUAUGAAAAAGAGAGGCUAACUACUUUAAUAUUUCAAACUGAAAUAAAAAUCUGAAAUAACUGAACUGAACCGAAUUUGUAAAAAGUGAACCAAACCGAAUUUAUUUCGGUUUGAUUACGGAUGUCAUUUUUGUCAAUCCAAAAACCGAUAAACCAAACCGAUAUUAAACAAUCAGAUCGAACCGACCGAACACCCACCCCUAGAGAGGAGGGGGGACCAAUUCUAUUUUAAUUGAAAAGGAAUUUGUGUGUAGAAAAUUAACAAUAAUAAGAAAACCUUCUUCAUUUAAAUUUUAAUAUGUAUUAUAUUGAAUAUUUAAUAUCAUGUGAAUUGACUAUCAUACCUAUAGAGGGGAGACUUUUAUGAAGGACAAAAAGUUUAAAUAACAUUUCUAAAUUCUUUCAAACUUUUAAUAUAUUAGAGAUUAGAGAUAAAGAUUAAAUAUAGAGAUAUGGAGGGUGUUUGGAUGGGCUUAAUAGUCGGUCAAAAUAGCUUUUAAGCCAUUUUUUACUUUUUGAAGUGUUUGACCAUUUUAAAAAUUACUUUAAAAAGUCAAAUUUUGCUUUUAAAAAGCCAAAAGCUAAAAGCACCUCAUUCCCUACUUAUUUAUUUUCGUUGUAUAAGUCAUUAUAGGCUGACCAAGUAAAAGACAUUUUUGUCCCUCAUAAUUCUCUCUUAUUCCAAAAUUACCCUUGUCUAGCCCUCAAUAUUUUCACUUUUUGUAUUUAUGGUGAACUUAACUCUAGCCAUAUUAGUAUAUCUUUUAUAUGAAACUUCUAAUUUAUGAAAUAUUAAUUUUUAUAUAUUAUUUUCCUUCUUUAAUAUAUUCUUUUAAAUUUGGACAAUUAUUAUUGUACAACAUAUGAAUUUCUCUAAGAAAAAAAUAACUCAUCAACCAAAAUAUACGAAGAAUACUCACUAAAGAUAUUCAACUUCAAGGACGAUUAGUAAACAAUCCAUCUAUAUUUCAUGAUGUAACAUUCGUAUUCUUCAAUGCUUUAAUAGUGAUAGUCAUUACUCAAUCAAUGAAUAAUAUAUUUUCUAAUUAAGAGACCUUUUAUCAAACAAAUAGUAUCAUUUGUGAUCAACUAUUUAGCUAUUAAUGUAAUUAUAAUGAUUAGUAACAUAUAUAUUUUGCUUGAGGGUUGGUUUAGUCUUUUAUUUAAAAAAAAAAUCAAACCAAUGAUGUCAAUUUUUUAAAAUUACAAACCAAAUCAAACCGACAUAAAAUUAUUUUUUUCAAUUUAAAUUUUAAUCGGUUCUUUCAGCUUUUUUGAUUUUUUUUUUUAUAAUCUUUAGUUUUUAACAUUAUAUUGUUAUUGAAGAGUAGAUCAAAUAUGUUUUCACUCAUGUGCUAAUGAAAAAUCACAAUUAUGAAAAAAUGAGGAGCGAAAAACUCUUGAAAUUAAAAGUAAGAUGAAGAGUGAAAAGUUUAGGUUUCAAAUUUAUAUUGAAUUUUGAAUCAUUAAUUAACAAUUAAUGGACAAACAUUACAACUUAAAGACCCAAAUCUGAAUAUAUAUUUACAUCUAUUUUCUAAAAUAUUGAAAAUUAAUAAAACUAAUUAUAAAAGUGUUUAAAAAGUAGAUUACAAUUAAUACUUUAUGUAUAUAAGGUUAAAAUUAUAUAUAUAUAUUCACAACGCAACAUUCGUGUUUGCUAAUAUUUUAAUAGUGAUAAUCAUUACUCAAUCAACGAGUAAUAUAUUUUCUAAUUAAGAAUCUUUUUAUCAAACAAAUAGUAUCAUUUGUUAUCAACUAUUUAUCUAUUAAUGUAAUUAUAAUGAUUAAUAACAUAUAUUUUGCUUAAUGAUUUAAACUCUUUUAAUAAAAAAAAAGAUUUUUUAGCGCACAAAUUAAUAAUCAUGCAUGAAAAUAUUUUUAAUAUAUAUAUAAAUAUAUAUUAAUUUUAAUUUAAAUUAUUUUAGAAAUAAAAAUUAAUAAUAAUCAACUCUGUAUAUUGUUAACAGCUUUAAGAGUAUUUCAGACAUUUUGACAAAAAUAAAGUGCUUAACAACACUUAUUUAUCAAACACAUCAACAACUUUUUUUCAGUUUCAACACGUUUAUCCAAACACGUAACUGUUUAUUUUUAAAAGAAGUUUCAACACUUUCAAAAGCACUUUUAAAGAAUUUUUUAUAAGUUAAUUGCCCUUAUGAUUUGACAACCAAUUAACUUUUGAAAAGGUAUUAUAAGGUCAACUUUUUUUUUUGGGGUAAAAAUAGAAAGUUGCGUUAAAUUUAUGUCUUUAAUGUUUUUUCCUUAAUAUGUGUGCCAAAAUCCAAUUCAUUUAUUAUGAAACGGAAGGAGUAUUAUUCUUCCUCUUCAAAUUCCAAUGGAAAUCAACCUUAAAUCUUUUUUUUUUUGGUAAAACAACCGUAAUCUUCACCAAAAUUUCUCAAAAUGACAAAGUUUUUCGCAAAACCCUGUUCUCGAAUUCUAAAUAUUUUUAGUAGCUGUCGAUGGAGCUUUUUAUUGAGUUUAUAGCUUUAGGUAUGUUCGGUGAGAAAUAGAAUGGGAGUGAAAUUGAGAAGUCUAAAGCCAAAAAUUAAGAAGAUUAUCGGUCUCUUACUUUUAUCUAUAUUUUGCUAUGAUUAAUAAAGUGUGUUACAUUUUGUAAUUAAGUACAAAUACCCGAAGUAGUUAUAAUUUAAAACUUAAAAAUAGCUUAUUCUUACAAAAUUGAACCACAAAUCACACCAAACUAUAAAUCGAGUCAAAUCAAAAAAAAAAAAAACCCGACAAAUAAUUUGGUUUGGUUAGUGUUUGAAAAAAAAUCAAAUAUAAUUGAUUUGGUUUGGCUUUUACUAAAAAAAGAUCAAAUCGAACUGAACCAACGUGAUAUUAUAUUUGUACCAUUUUUAAAAAUAUUUAUAUAUAAAAAUAUAUACUAUUAUAUAAUUUAUAAAUCUUUCUUAAACUUUUUCAUAGUUUUUAAUCUUUUGACAUAUUAUUUCAAGUUUAAACUAAUUGGUCCAAUAAGUUUUAUAGCCAUGGAUAUUAGUCACUCUAAUAAAUCUCUAAUCAAUACUAAUGCUAACAAAAAUAUUCAAGGAAAAAAUUAAAACGUACAUCGUUAGAUUGAAUGUUGCAAGUCAUAGUAAUACUUCAUAGAUAGCAAUUAAUAACAACUUUUAAAAUAAAUAAAAAAAUUUAAAAUUAAUUUUUUAAAAUAAAGAAAUUAUCCUUAAAUUAAGAAGUAGGUUAACAAAAGGAUAUCAACCACCCCCUAAUUUCUCUCUUCAAAUGAUUUUUUUUUCUUUUUCAAACUGAAGUAGUGUCUUCUUCUUCAUUAAAUCUAUUCUUCUACUUAUUUCUUCAAAAAAAUCAUUAAAAAAUAUACUGAUUGGAAUGCAAAUUUUUAUAUACUUUUGAUAUUUAAGAGGAGGAUUUCCAUUACAAUACUGACUUAAGUACUUUAAUUAAAACUUGAGUAUAACACCUCAGGUUUUUGGUCCUUAAAAUUUUUCUGAGUUUUGAGCUCCCUGUCCUGACUAAGACUCUCCCUAUGAGUCGUAGGGUAUUUUGACGGGCCAUGUGACCCUAGUCGUAAGAUGUCCAGAAAGUGUUGUUGAAGUUACUAUCCUGGGUACGACUUGAGGGUACUAAUCAUAAAGACUCAUGACGAGUCGUUGAGGCAAGUCGUAACCAAAUCAUGUAAGUUUGUGGCAUGAUUCUGCUCUGAGGGUAAAACAACCGUAAUCUUCACCAAAAUUUCUCAAAAUGACAAAGUUUUUCGCAAAACCCUGUUCUCGAAUUCUAAAUAUUUUUAGUAGCUGUCGAUGGAGCUUUUUAUUGAGUUUAUAGCUUUAGGUAUGUUCGGUGAGAAAUAGAAUGGGAGUGAAAUUGAGAAGUCUAAAGCCAAAAAUUAAGAAGAUUAUCGGUCUCUUACUUUUAUCUAUAUUUUGCUAUGAUUAAUAAAGUGUGUUACAUUUUGUAAUUAAGUACAAAUACCCGAAGUAGUUAUAAUUUAAAACUUAAAAAUAGCUUAUUCUUACAAAAUUGAACCACAAAUCACACCAAACUAUAAAUCGAGUCAAAUCAAAAAAAAAAAAAACCCGACAAAUAAUUUGGUUUGGUUAGUGUUUGAAAAAAAAUCAAAUAUAAUUGAUUUGGUUUGGCUUUUACUAAAAAAAGAUCAAAUCGAACUGAACCAACGUGAUAUUAUAUUUGUACCAUUUUUAAAAAUAUUUAUAUAUAAAAAUAUAUACUAUUAUAUAAUUUAUAAAUCUUUCUUAAACUUUUUCAUAGUUUUUAAUCUUUUGACAUAUUAUUUCAAGUUUAAACUAAUUGGUCCAAUAAGUUUUAUAGCCAUGGAUAUUAGUCACUCUAAUAAAUCUCUAAUCAAUACUAAUGCUAACAAAAAUAUUCAAGGAAAAAAUUAAAACGUACAUCGUUAGAUUGAAUGUUGCAAGUCAUAGUAAUACUUCAUAGAUAGCAAUUAAUAACAACUUUUAAAAUAAAUAAAAAAAUUUAAAAUUAAUUUUUUAAAAUAAAGAAAUUAUCCUUAAAUUAAGAAGUAGGUUAACAAAAGGAUAUCAACCACCCCCUAAUUUCUCUCUUCAAAUGAUUUUUUUUUCUUUUUCAAACUGAAGUAGUGUCUUCUUCUUCAUUAAAUCUAUUCUUCUACUUAUUUCUUCAAAAAAAUCAUUAAAAAAUAUACUGAUUGGAAUGCAAAUUUUUAUAUACUUUUGAUAUUUAAGAGGAGGAUUUCCAUUACAAUACUGACUUAAGUACUUUAAUUAAAACUUGAGUAUAACACCUCAGGUUUUUGGUCCUUAAAAUUUUUCUGAGUUUUGAGCUCCCUGUCCUGACUAAGACUCUCCCUAUGAGUCGUAGGGUAUUUUGACGGGCCAUGUGACCCUAGUCGUAAGAUGUCCAGAAAGUGUUGUUGAAGUUACUAUCCUGGGUACGACUUGAGGGUACUAAUCAUAAAGACUCAUGACGAGUCGUUGAGGCAAGUCGUAACCAAAUCAUGUAAGUUUGUGGCAUGAUUCUGCUCUGAGUACGAGUGGCUCACUAAGAACUGUAAGGAGAUGUAUGAGUUGUUAGGUGUAAUCGUAAGGCGUUCAGUGUAUAUCCCAAAUGCAUUCUGUGUUGAUUACGACUGAGACCUACGAGUCAUAGGGUCUCAUUACGAUUUUUGUGGAUGAGUCAUAAGGUCAGAAGUAUAUAGUGCCUUGGUUGUACUACCUUAGUUACGACUCGUGAUAAUGAGUCUUAAGGAGCGCUACGAGUCAAGGGUUGACCCAUAGUCAAAGGCGACACUUUUUAGCUUUUGAAAGGGCAUCCUGGACAUUUUUCCUCUUACGCAUUUUGAAACCCACAUCUUAUAAUACCUUUAAGGUGUCAUUAACACUCAAAAACCAAUCCAAGUAACUUUUCAAACACUCCAAAGUCUCUCUAAGUUCGCUCAAGCACGCCAAGCUAGGGUUUCAUCAAGUGGGUUAUCUAACGGCUCAAGGGCCAAAUUCUCUCCAAAUUUCUUGGUGUUUAAGGCACGUUACUCUUCCCUCAUUGUUAAUUUUAUAAAAGCAUGUGAUUUAAAGUAUUGUUCAUGACAUAUUUAUGAUGAUUUUGAAAUAAGGGUUGAGCUUUUGAAUGCUUGUUGUUGAACAAUAUUUUUUCGUGGUUUACAUAAGGUUAUUCAUGCUUUAAUAAUGAUUUUGAACUUGUGGGUGCUUGGGUAUGGUGAAUGAACUCGGGAAUUUUGAAUUUCCCAAACUUGUAACUUUUGAAUUGGUCAUGACUCCAACCCAUUAAUGUGAAAUUAGUUAUUAGUUAUGAGAAAUAUGGGAAUUUGUGAAAUUGAACUAGUCUUGAACUGUUGUAUGAUACAAAGAGGUAAUUGAAACACAGAGAUUUAAUUUAAUGAAUAAAAGGAGUCGGUGUACCCCUACCUUUCAUUAAAGAACAAAGGAAGUUGUUCUCCCCAAGUUAAUAAAAUUAUUUUGGCAUGAUGUUAUUACCUUGCAAGUGUAGUUGGUAUGACGAUACCAACAGUGUAUGCCUUAAUGUGGAAUAUGAUCAAUGAAUGAGAAUGUGUAAUGCUUGUUUUAAUUGAGCUCUAAUAAGGAUUGUGUAGCUGAGUCAUGAAAGUGGAAGUCCGAGUAACCGAUACUGAAAACCACUUUUGCCGAUGCGGGGGUCAAAGUAACCACGGAGGUUUGAGUCCCCCUCAUUAUUAUUUCAUGAUUAGGGAGGUUUGGGUCCCCCACAAAUCAUUACAUGAUCGCGUGCUUAAGUCACCUUAGUAUAUGUUGAGAAGUUCGAGUCCCCCAGGUGCAUAUAUAUAAGAUUAUUUUCUGGUUCGUGUGGCUACACACACUGGGGCCCAACUGGGGGUGAGAGCUGGGACUAUAUUGUCUGUGGGUAUUAUUAUAUGACAGUUGAACUACAUAAUCUAGGUUAAAGUUUUAAGUGUAUGUUAAACCUUGUUCUCUAUCCCGACAUGUGAAGCAUAUAUGUAUAUGUAAUUGAUUAUGUGCAUUGGUUUUGAAUAAUUUUAAACUGUUGAUUUUGACAUUUAUGUUAUCCUUAUCCCUAAGUUACAUGCUAGCGUUCACAGCGCUAACAGUCUUCAGAUGUUGUAUCCCUAUGCGAUGUACGAGUUGGUCAUACUUCUACUCCUCCUACUCAGUGAUUAGGAUCCGAGAUCAGCUCAUUAGUUGACAUUGACGUGGUGAACUUCCAUGCAUCGGAAAUCUACAUUUCAUGUUUUGUUCUUUUACUUCUCAGACUGUUCAGUCUUAUUUUGGCUAUAGUCGGGGGCAUGUCCCGACACUUUAUUGAUAUUCAGCUUUAGUUCUUGUUAUAAGGCUUUGUUUGAACUACUAUGGUUAUUGGAUGGUUUCGGUUGGUUGUUUGGCCAAUCGUCGGUGGUUGGUCAUGGACAUGCAUUAAAAAUUUUCUUAAGCUAUUGCACGCUAUCUUGUUAUAUAUUUGAAAUUCAUCCAACUUUAGAGUGUGUUGUGUUUGGAUUGGUCAGGUGCAGUGGGUGAUCUCCGAUCCACGUGGGACUUGAGAUACCCAUCACGACUAGGCCCUGAUUCGAGCUGUGAGUUAUUGAAAAGAAAAACAUAUAAAAACUCAUUAUCAUCUAGCUUUUUUGUUAAUCAUUGAAAAAUUUUUAUUAAAAUAUUUUUCUUCUUCUUCCUCUAUAAAUCAAAAAUUUAUUCUAAGUGAACCCCAAUAUUAUCCAAAUUUUUAAUCUUAAUCAUUAAAUACAGUUUACAUAUUUUGAUUGCAACAUCGGAAAAAGUAUUAUUCAGAUUUUUUAUGAUUAUUUCAAUACCAUUUUCAUCCACUAAAAACAUUAAUAAGUAUGCAUCAUUCUUUUAUAUCAUUUUACAUACCAAUUUCAUAAAUCAAAAAAUCAAAAAUCAAAUAAUGAUAAAUAACAUGGUUUAAAGUUGAUUGAAAAAACAAAAUGAAAUGUAAUGCACAUAAAGAGUUUGUGUAUGUAAUGAGUAUACCUAAUUUUCAAAUAAAUUUACAUAAAAAUCACAAUAUUUUUUACUGUAGUAUUAAUAUGAAUUACAUACAUAGAGAAACCGAUAAGAAAUACCAUUUAGUAAAUGAGAUGGAUUUAUCAACUAAUUUUAAUAUAAUUUAUUAUAUCAUUCUUCAUUAGCAGAUUUUGUAUCAUUUUCAUACACUAAACGUUAUAAACUUUUAUAUCGUUUUUAUAAUCAGUAAGAAAAAAUCAUUUAUACGUAACAUUUGUUAUUUCAAUUUCAUAUAUUUAACAAUAAGAAUAUAGUGAUACCAUUUGGAACAUGUCAUUGUUAUGCAAAUGGGUUGCUCUCUUCCACAAAUCUAGACCUCUUUCGAGUAGGAGUAGAAUCAAACUUAUGAAUAGAAGACACGAGUCAUGAUGAAAUCAAACUCAACCUUAAAUAAAGCUGAUUAUACACAAAUGUCAAGAAUCAAACCUAAAUUGAGCCAAAUGUCUAUACCCAAGAGCAAAAAAUGGUGAAGAAAAUAAAAGAUGAAAUAUUGUAAGUACAAAACCACGGAGUAAUUAGACAAGAGGCGUGUAUUAAUGUCACGAUCCGAUUUAUAAGUCAUGAUGAAAUCUACUUUAUCCCACCAGUAGGUAAGCCAAACAAUAGCUGAAGCUACACGCAAUGGGCUAACUUGGCGAAAAAUGACCCAAAAAUCAGAAAUUAAUAUUUAAAGAGUUAAAAUAGCAAUAGAGUAGUUAUAAAAGUCUAAUAAAUAGAUGAAGGGGUCAACAACCAUCCCAAGACUCAGUAAUGUUGCUAUAAAAGCUUCUAUAAAUAAACUAUAAGUACUGAACAGUCACAUACAAUCUGUCUCAAAAAUGAAAGACUAGACAUAGAUAAGUAGAAGGAAAAAUGGUAACUCCAACUCUAAGAGCUCAUCCAAUCUCUGAAAUCAACUCUGCAUGAGCAUCACGUCAAUGGCGGCAACUACUACUCGUAUCUGGACCAAAAAGGUACAAAUGUGUAGUAUGAGUACCAAAACCACGGGUACAUCGACUCACUGAGCUAAUCAUAAUAUAAAUAUGAUAAGAUACAAGAUAAAAUAACUAAGCAUAGGUAAACGGGCAAACUUGGAAAUAAGCUUCAACACCAAUGUGCAUAAGUAAUUAAAUAAAUAUGGGAGUCAAUGUAAAUUUCACACCAUUAUAACUACUAAAUUAGCCCCGAUAAGUCAAUAAGUAUGGAAAAUUAAAUAACUCAAUGAAGGCCCCCUUAAGCCUGGAGAGUACAAUCAAGAAAAGUAAAUAACCCAAUAACAAUAAAUUACCAAUUAUCCUGCAAUAACCAAGAAUCAAUCCAAACUACCUCAUAUUAUAAAUAAGUCCCAAAAUGCUGGACUUGAAUCGAAACUCAAUAAUAUCAUCAUCACUACCAUCAUUUACCGGACUUGAACAAGAAUUUAUAUCAUCAAUAUCAUCAUCAAAUGUCAGAUUUGAACCGAAACUUACAUAUCAUUAUCAUUAUCAUCAUCAAUUGACAGACUCGAAUCAGGACUUAUAUAUCCUUAGACCAUAUCAAUAGACUAUAUAAAUAAACCAUAAUUAUAAGACAUAUCACUAAAUCAUAAUAAUUAUCCAUUAGAACUUAUCCAAAAUUAACACAAACUCUCAACUAUUGAACUAGCGUAAUCAAUAAGCAUCUAAUCUCUUCAAAGUCUCAAAAUAAGCAUUAAUAAGGGUAUAUCAUAUAUAAAUAAGUCUAAAAAAUCUAACACAAGUCUUGACCUAAGGUGGGCCGAAGGGGCCUACUACUAAUCCCCGAAAUUCAUUUUAGAAAAAUUGUAUUCUGGACUAGGAUAAGGUAUCUACAUUCAUUUCUAUAUGUUAAAUAAGUCAUAAUUAUCCCUAAGAUAGUAAUUCUCCCUAAACAUGAGCAACUAAGUCAAUUAUGCCUAAAUUAUGAUUUCACGAUAGCCUAAACAAUCCAACUAACCCAAAUAUUAUCAAUUAUACCUCCAACACCUAAAUUUCAGCUAAUAUCUAGCAUAUUAUCAUAAUGAUACUACGAAAUAGCUCAAUCUAUGAAUCUGCUAAACCACUAAUUUUUCUUUUCGAGAAACUUUUUCAAGAUGUCACGCUAUCAAAAUCAUAAUUUACUCAUCAAAAUGAGAACAAUAAUACCCACAUUGCACUAUUGUCCUUUGAGUCUAAAAUUACGUAAAAAUCUCAUGUGGGGCCUACAAUCAAGCCACCAAGAUUCUAGAGAUUUUAGAAAAAGAUGAACGAUUUUAUCAAGAAAUUAAUAAAAGCUUACCACAAAUUCUAAGGAAAAUGCAUAAAUUGAUUUUACCCAAGCUCUAAAAUCACCCAUAAAUGUUCUCCCAAGAAUUCUCACUUUUUAGGGUUUAAUAUUCUAUAGAAUGGUGAAAACCGAGCUAAGUGGUGUAUUUAUACUCUUCCCAGGCCCACAAUGUCGCUUAAGGGACACUUGCUGUCACAACACAAGUUGAGUAAACGAUGCUAGUAUCGCUUUAGCAGUGUUCGCAUACACAACACGCCCCGCUUAUGCGAAACAAUGGGCAAGCCAGGUCACUUAAGCGACUGGUUGGCCGUGUACGUGAUGCACCAGCACCAGCUGAGACUUGGAAUUUUUCCAAGUCUUUACUAACCCCUUAGGAUACAUUCGAAAUCUCAUAUAUGCAAAUGAACAAUGAUAACCUAUCAAAUUAGACAUUUCAGAAUCAAUGGCGUAGUUAAAAUUUUCAUCUAGGGUCGUUUCAAUGAAAAAUGGGUCCCACACCCACCUGUCAUUUUUCUUAACUUCCGAAAAAUAGCCCAAAAUGAGUUCAAAAACCUCGGAACCUGAACCAAGGGUUCACCUAGACUAAAAUCGAUAUUUUGGAGCUAUUGUAAUAGUCAGAAUUGGCAUACAAUAUCUUUUGACUCAAUGUUUUGCUCGGUAGCCAAUUUGAAUCAACGAAGACUUCAAAAUAGGCAAUUGGUUGUAUAAACCAAAUGAACUGCCCGAUAACUGCACUGUCAGUUCUAGCAAGUCUUAAAUGACUUGGGGCAGCUGUAGAACGCUCUAAAUGGCAAAAAUGAGUGGAAAUACAGAAAAUGACCUAUUUGGUCAUUACAAUAUCCACUACUAAAAGAACAUCCGUUCGCAAAAGUAAAAGAUUAGGAUAUAUCUGAAGCCUCAAAUAGGUGAGGAUACUGGGUCUGCAUCUCGCUCUCGAUCUCCCAAGUAGCAUCCUCUACUGGGUGAUGCCUCCACUGAACCUUAACUACUGAAAUCUCUCUAGUGCCUAACCGCCAGACAUCACUAGCCAAUAUGAGCACCAACUCCUCCAUGAAGGUCAACCACUCAUCUAACUGAACUGAGUCCCAUCUAAGCACAUGAGAAGGGUUAAAAUAUAUCACCGCAACAUAGAAACAUGAAAAAACAAAUGGACAGCAGCAAAAUUUAUGAGUAAGUAUCACGCUUCAUUUCGAACAGGUCGAAACAACACACAACAUAUGAUCGUCGUUGCAACUCUUUUUGAUUUUUUUGAAAAAUUGUUUGUUUGAGUCACCACCUAACUCUUAAGGAAAACUAGAAAAAUCAUUUUUUGUUAUGUGAAAACUCUGUUUUUGUUUGCGAGAAUCCGUGAGAUUCUAAGUAGGAAUUUUGGUUACUCAAGGGGAAGGUAUUAAGCAUCCAUCAAAGCCUAUUCAAAUAUAAUCCUUAAACUUAGUUUUAGAAAAAUAUUUGAAAAACAUUUAUCUAGAAAAAUAUUUGAAAAAUAUUUAUCUCAUUAUUUGCUAAAAUGAUGAUAGGAAAACUUUUGUUAUUAUUAUUACUAUUAUUAUUUUGAAAAGAUACUUAAAUAUAGAAUACAUAACGCUACCGUAUACGAGCAAGUAACAUAAUUAUUGUAAAAUGAUAUAUGAAUAUUUUGAAAUGUGGGAAGGAAGAAUAUUUCUAUUGUAAUAAAAAGCAUAAAAAUGUAACGCUUUUGCAAGAAAAUAUGUUUAAAAUGUAUAAGAGUUGAACAUGUGGACAAAAUUUAUUAUAAAGUAAAAUUCUUUAAAGUAUGAAGUAAUUUAUUCAAAAUAAACCUAAAUAUACUAAUAUUUAGAAAUAUGUGACAAGGAUGUGAAAAUUUAUUAUUUUUAUUUGUGAAGUUCUCAAGGAUAGGAAUUAAGUAGAGAAUAAGAUAGAAUGUGCGUGUGUGUAUAUAUAUAUAUAUAUAUAUAUCGUAGAAUCAAAAUAACUUAUGAGUAAUGAUAAUAAUAAUAAUAAUAAUAGAAAUUGCAGAAAAGUGAUAAUAAUCAUAAUAAUAGUGAAAUAGUAGUAAUAGCAAUAAAAUAAACUUUACAUAUGGUAGCGGAAGAACACAUAUAUCUUGCAUUGUGCAGAUUUCUAAAUUCAAAAACAUGAAAUAAUGUUAAAAAUAAAAAUGAAAUAAGAUAAAUAUUUGAACGCUAUGAAAUUGUGUAAAAGCCGAAUUUUGAUAGGUAAGUUAUUUGCCAUAUUGAAAAAGGUUUGGCUAAUUAAAAGUCACUUUGGUGAUUUGUUUGAAAAAACUCCAAUUAAGAUAUAACACAGUUAAUUAAUAUUUUUCAAAAUAAAGACUAACUGACCAUUUCAUUUAAUUAAAAAAAAUAUGUAUUUCCAUUUGAGAUUGUACUUGUGAAAAAGGCAAAGUUUGUCAUUUAUUCUAAAAGUUUGAUUCGCAGGUGCAAAGUUGUAUAAUUAAGUGGUUAAACCAUUUACCAUUAUUACAUAUAUAUGGGCAUCGAAUGAACAUGAAAUUAGCUGAAUAAAAUCAAUUCUAAAUGAUUCAAAGCUUAACCAAAACUAAAUAAAGUAAAGUUAUCAAUUUCAAUUAAAGCCACAUAAAAAAAUAUAAUCAAAAUAGCACAAGGUUAGUGAAACAAAUGCGAAUAAUAAAGUCAUGAAAAAGGUAAAGUACUAGAUACUAUAAAUUUCUAUCACAAAACUCGGCUCGAUUUCUAGCAAUUUAAACUUGGCGCUCUGUGAUCCUAUAGUUUUGACCCAAAAUUUGGGUCAAAACGAGUUUCGAUCAAAACUUCGACUCUCGAGAUUACAUGAAAUAAAGAAAAUAAUAAGAAUUAGAAACCGAACUUGAUGAAAUAAAUGAAUAAUGAAAAUGGUAUACAACCAAUGACCAAAUAGAUCACGCAAUACAAAAAUAAAUAAACUUUAAUUAUCACCCAAAUGAAACUAACUUAUGCAUAUUUUAGCAAACAGCGUCUUGAUGAAGCUACGAGUCAACAAUCCCACCUUAUCUCAAAAUAUUUAACAAAAUUCGAAUCUUAAAUCUUUUCAAUGUAUAGGAAUGUGAUAAUGUAAGCUAAUCAAACCAAAUCUCCAUCUAUGUUCACAGGAGAAAAACUUAGAACAGCUCAUUAAUGGGGACUUUCUUCGUGUCUCCUAUACUUUGAACAUUCACAGAAAUGUCAAACAAGACAAGACGGACAUCAAAUAAAUUAAUAUAGGAUAAUAUACACAUAUUCUUGAAACUAUUUAAUAACAUACUAGCCAAAAUCGAUCGAACAAAAGAGAAACAAAAGGGCUGAUUUUUUAUGUUUGAAGACAGACCGGGUCAAAAUUACUUUUAAGGCUCAAUUUUUAGAAAAAGCAGCAGUAUAUACACACAUAUACAUAUGUUUUAACAAGUCCAUAUGCUCAAACAAGAAACAACUUUUCCAAAAAAAAAUAGGUUUCAUUCACAGAAUUAAAGGGAAACAACAAUGACAUGAGUUUGAAAUUGAAAUAAAAUCACAUAUUCAUGGAACCGAACUAGGAAUGAAACUAAAGGAGACAGAUUCGUACUUAGGAUGCAAAAUAGCCUCUCUCGAAACAAAAUAGUUUUAAAGAUUAAAAGAGAAAAAAUUAUGUUUUGAAAUUAAUUUCCAGAGAAUAAACAACAACACCAUAAUAAGACCUGAAACAAAUUAAAAUCACACAUCCACUAGAUUCAAAAAUGACCUACGGAGAAGAUAUGAAGGCCACAUGAAAGAUGGGUGUUUACCUUAUAUUGUGCAGCAAAGCUGAGGCUUCCCGUAGAGAAUCCUAUGGCCACAAAACUCAAAACUCGGGAACUCAGAAUUUACGAAACCAAGGACCAAGUGAAGUAAUUCUUGCAGCCCUUUGCUUGUGAAAUUGUCAGGCGUUAAUCAACUUUUCCCCAUUUUGCCCUCUAUUUUUCACUUUGUUUUUCUCUCUCCUUCUGGAGAAUCAAAGACAACCAUUUAUAGGCACAAAUCUAGACUUGAAAGUUCAGAUUUAGAAUAAAAAUUUAUUCAAAAUGUGUGGAUCUGAGAGGAGAUUUGAAAAUUCAAGUUCAAAUUUCUAAAAUAAAUCCUCUUUUUCUCCAUAUCUUGAUAAUUUGCAGAGAACUGAUGGCAGAUUAAUCUGUUUUCCAUUAUAUCAUUGAUUUGGGAUAGAUUUUCUGAUUUUUGAAGGGAUUCAUGGAUUGGGAGAUGUUAAAAUGGGAGGAAUCUCGUGACAGCCUGUUUGGAUGGUUAUCAUGGAACCAUGUUUAUUUUCAUGGUUUUCUAAAAAUGGUGAUAGGUAUGUUACUAUUCUAUGUUUGAUAACCAUGAAAUGAGGCAAUUUCUGGAACUACCAAUUUGGUGGUGUGGCGUGGUUCUCCCUUUUUUUUUUUUCCAACUUUGACCUUAUAUAAUUUUAUUAAAACCCAUUAUACCCUUUUACUUUUCUUAACCUUAUAUACUCUUUUCUUCAACUUAACUCUCUUUUUCACUGCAGCACCCAUCUCUGGCACCACCCUAGCAUUUAACAUAGUAGUAUCCUCAGAAAAAAUAAGAGACGCUGCUAUCUCAUUGACGCCUUUUAGGGUUUUUUUCAUUUUCGGGGUAAGAAUAGAUAUAGGUAUAGCUAUUUUGUAAGGCCGACCACGAUGGAGAUAGUAGGAAGUGGAAGAAGGAGGUGGGUCGAUGAACUCAAUGUAGCUGACAGAGAAAACGACGUCAUCAAUGCCCUCAUUGAAAAUUUAU
RNAcentral lists this long non-coding RNA (54721 nucleotides) under Capsicum annuum. RNAcentral describes it as "long non-coding RNA (CANN_LNC002073)". The record is from RNAcentral. Lineage: Eukaryota; Viridiplantae; Streptophyta; Magnoliopsida; Solanales; Solanaceae.